RNAcentral lists this long non-coding RNA (88391 nucleotides) under Panax ginseng (ginseng). Its description in RNAcentral is "long non-coding RNA (PGIN_LNC008249)". The stretch from base 76514 to 76620 matches the Rfam family "Plant small nucleolar RNA R71". Lineage: Eukaryota; Viridiplantae; Streptophyta; Magnoliopsida; Apiales; Araliaceae. The record is from RNAcentral.
CUGGCUGGCUCAAUGUCCCCAUAGCAAAUAAUGGCAAAAAUAUAAAAAACUAAAAUAUUAUUAACUUAAUAAAAUCAUCCACUACAUAAUCAUUUAUUAUCUUUACAAUUAACCAUCUAAAGCUACCACAGUUCUUCAAUCAAAGUAUAUAUCUACAUAUAUAGAGAUAGUACACUUCAUAAUUUCGUCCAUUGUCCCGUAAACCUAGCACGAAAAUUUGAUACCCAGUAUUGUAAGGCAGGUCAUAGAAGCAGUCUUCCUGCACAUAUUUAAAAAUAAUAGCAAGUCAGAAAAUUGAAGCAAAUAGGUCACCAGAGGCACUUAAUACCAAAAUCAAUACACAAAUAAAAUAGAGUUGCUACGUGGUACUAAUGUACACCGUAUUGCUCAUAAGCAGAAAAGGACAAAUAGGCAAUCACAAUAUCAUUUGCUACAAAUCCAAAUAGAAAAAGAACCCUCAGUGCGACUAUAUGAUUACUCUGUUACAAGAAAAAAUUAGAAUCUUAAUCGGUCAUUUCAUGAAUUAAUUUCAGUAAGCAUAGUGAUAAACAUAUUUUCUGUUACAAGACUUGUAGAUUAUUAUUAUAUGUUAACCUCAAGUCAUAAUUCAGUCACAUUCAACAACCACAAGCAUCACACAAUCUUAAAUAACAAUGUUUAGAUUUCUAAUGAGAAAGGACAACAAUUAUGAAAAAGUUAAGGCUAUUAGUCAAUGUGGAAAAACUUUUCUUGAGACGACAAAUUUCCAUACAGUAUAUACCCCAAAGAUGCUAGCUAUAAUCACAGACAUUUGAUUUUAAGAUUAUUAAGUUUUGCAUGCCACACUUGGACAUAUAAAAAAUAAAGUAAAAAUUAAAAAUUGAUGAUUGUUUUUUAACAUUAACUUAUUAAACUUUAUAGACUAGAAUUUACUUUUGAUAAAAAAUUAUUGAAAAGAUAAUAUAUAAAUGUGUCCUACACAAACCUUAUUAUUCAUAAAAAAAUAGUUGACAAAAAGUAAGAAUCUUUUUUUUGGGAUAUAUAUAUAUAUANNNNNNNNNNNNNNNNNNNNNNNNNNNNNNNNNNNNNNNNNNNNNNNNNNNNNNNNNNNNNNNNNNNNNNNNNNNNNNNNNNNNNNNNNNNNNNNNNNNNUGAUGUUGUUGCGGCUGUAAAAGUGCAUCAAAAUUCCAGAAGCUGCAAGAAAACAGAAGGGAUUAAAAUUUUUGAUAUGUUACAAUAAAUUACAACCAACACUUGGUGUAAAGCCCAAAAUAAAAAUAACAAACAAUAGGAUAUUACAAUUUAAGAUCUUUUAGGAGUGUCAACAUAAUAGAAACACCAAUAUUUUUGUCACCCAUGAUAACAUAUGAUAACAUGAGGUUCUUCAAAGAGCCCAACCAUCUUAAAAUGAUCUUAUAACAAACAGUUGUCCAAAAUUUAACUGCCACUAUAUAGAAAACCAUUACACUACCCAAGCAUAACCAGAAGAACUAACCCCAGUCUGCGAAUACAAGAUUAAUUAAUCAAUAUUAAUAAAAAUUUAAAAACUGUUUAGUAAUAUAAUCCUUCAGUAAAUUAUAACUGGGAUAGACACCUCUUCUUUCCCUGAAAUAGACAUUGCUCUUUAUUUGGCAAAUGUGAUAAUGAAGUCCUGGAACACACUCCUGAAGCACUUACAAGUUCCAAUAGCAAUAAAAGUUCUUAUUAUUUAUUUAAAGAACUAUUGCUAGGCAAGCAGACUAGUGCAGCUUCAGCAGUCUCUUACACUAAGUGUUUCUGUAGAAUGCGGGCACCCUACAGGAUAUAUACCAAAAAUAACCAUAAAUUGAUUGUCUGAGAUUAAAUUUAUAAAAGAAAAAAUUGAGCUCAACUCCACAUAAACAUUUGCAAUUACGAAAGCAGGGAUGAUGUGGUUUAGGAAACAAUUUUGGGAAAAAUACUUAUAUGCCCUUCAUAAAAAAAUAAAUCUACAUAAAAACAAACGAGGGCACACUAUAGAACCUAACCAAAAUAUAUAAAAAAUUUCAGGAACUAACUUUUUCUACAUCCCUUAAAUUUGGCAGGCUUGCAAUCUACUGGAAAGCUAAACACGCCCAAAAUAGAAAGCAGCUAUAUAUACAAUAUCUGACAAAAUAUAACAUCAAUAAACCCCAACUUUUAACUUAAAUUCUACCAAAAACUAAUAGUCAUGCCAGAUAAUUAUUCACAAAGGAUCACAGGUAGCGUAAUUUUAGAAACAAUUUUUGACAACACCUAGUCUCCAGAUCUAGACCAACAAACUCCCUUGAAAGAUUAAAAUAUUACUUUUUUAAAAUUAAAAAAAAAUCUAGAGAACAUAUGACGUAUUUCUUAAAAACAAGAAUCCAACUUUAACAUCUGUUGAAUUUCUAAACAUGUUGCAACAUAAACAACACCAUCGAAAACCGUGAAUUGAACUUGACAAAAAAGAAAAACCCGAUCUGCAUGAUAUAUAGAUAUGAGAGACAGAAAAAAAAUCUAAAUUAAAACAGCUCCAAUGAAGCAAAUCAUAUACAGAUUAAGAACCCAGAAAAAAUAAGAGAAAAAAUUACCUAACCAACAAUGAUCAGAUACAGAUACAGAAACAAAAGUAAAUAUAUAUAAAUAGAUAUGUAUAAAUAAAGGGGGAGAGAGGAUGAGAAGAGGAUUAUUAUGGUUGGCAUGAAAUUAUUGUGAGAUGAGAGAAUAGGAGAGUAAUUGCCCUUUGAUUCAAGAAGAAAAAGAAGACGACGACUAAUGCGACCAAGAUGAGGGUUUGUGUCGUCGUAUAGCAGUAGUCAAAGAUAAUGAAAAAUUCAAAAACAAACAUACAACUUGAAGCUCGAAGUCUCAUGUCCAUGGAAGCUCAAAUAUUAAGUAUUUGAAAAGUACCAACAAUAAAGACCUAAAGAACCCUUGCCUUCAUUUUUACCCUCCAAUUUACUACAGAUUAUCAACUUAGCACAAAAUCGGGUCCAAAUAAAAUAUCAAACAUCCAAAAAAAAUAGUCAUAGUGGGUACACAUUUCUCAACAGCAAGAUUUAGUUUCAUUAAACACUUGUAAAAAGAAACACUUUUCUUGUUCAUCAUUCAGAAAGUAGUAACAGAAACUAACCAAAAAGAAUAUAAAUUAAAAAAAAUCAAUGAAAUUGAGAAAUUUAAAGAUCCCCUUCUCUUCUUUCCCUCUCUUUUUUCAUUUUUAAUAAGAAAUUAGAAUUUUAUAAAUGAGGAAGAGAGUGACAGUUCACAAUUAAUUAUUUCUUAUAAUAUUUGAGCAAGCAAACGAGCUCAAAGCUGCUGUUUAUCUAGAAUGCUAUUUUUCCCCCAAAUCUAUCCAUAUUCAGAUAAUCUAUAACAGAGUGUAACUCAAAUAAUCAUCACUCACAGAAAACUAUCUAACUCAAAAAUAGCAUCAUAAUUAAAUUACACAAACCCAUAAAAGUUGAUUCAAACCAUGUCUCAAGGCUUCUGUGCAGAAAACAUAAUGAAGGAUUGUUGAAUUGUGCUUGUGUAGUUGAUCAGACCACAUGAUGAGCACAAAUCUUCAAUCUCCUCCGCUGUCAAAUAGUUGUAAUCUCGCAGGACCCUCUGACGGAAAAAAUUACAUAUAUCAAGACUAAGAUGAUAAUCUUUAAGUAAAAGCCAAUUGAGCUAGGAGACAGGCUGCUUAUUAUUUUAAAUCUUUUAAUCCUACUACAAUAGCUCUAUCCGGUGUCAUACUGUCAAUCAUUCAACUUGGGAUAUCCAAGAAAUCGAUAUUUUUGUGGAAGAUGUAGUAGUUGGCAAUGCAUUACACCACAAUGUGUUUCUAAAGUACCAUUUAUCAAAACCACAAACUCCAUUCAAUUUAAGCAUCUGGAUAUUAAUAAGUAUAAGAUGAGUGCAGAAAGCAAAGAAGGAAAGAAAUUUAAACAUCAAAAGGUGCAUAUAAAGUAAAGACUAACUCAGACUUGCAGUCUCAUGAUAGGAUUACGAUCAUGAACAAUCACAAAAACUGGCAUUAGUUUACACUUGUUACAAUUUAAAUGUUAUUAAUUCCAUGCCAUAAGACACAACAUAAUUGCCCAUAAUGGAGAAAAUGGCUUCCUUGCAAACAACCUAAAUAUUCAUCACAAACACCACAAACAAAAAAUAAAUAUAAAAACAAACAUAAAUUGAAUAGCAGAUAUUAAUACUACCUCCGUCCCACAAUAAGUGCUUUUUUAGGCUUAAUAUUUUUUUCCAAAAUAAGUGAUGUGUUAGAACUCCAAUACAAUUUUUGCAAUAUUUUCUCAUAUAUGCCCUUAUGCAUUCAAUGGUAUUUAUUGCAUCUUACCAUCACUAUAAUUAAAUGACACUCAUUAACUCUUCAACUUCAAAGAAAAUAUAUUAAGGGUAUUUUUGCCAUUUUAGCUUGUGUAUCGGUAUGUGUGAUUUAAGCUAAAAAAACACUUAUUAUGGGACGGAGGUAGUAUUUCAUUAGAAUAAACUUGAGACAAAGAGAGAAACCAAAUAAUAUUUCCAUAACAUAUAAUUGUACCAAUAACAACUAUAAUGGCCAUACUCAAGGGCCAAGAAUAUAACCAGAAUAUGAAAAUAUCAUCAAAAACUGUAAAAUCAUCAAGCACUACUAAAAAAUAAAAAUAAAAAUAAAGCCCUAAACAGUAAAUACACAUAUAUAGACAAAUCCACAUAAGUAGAGAUAAAUUCAUUGACUAACGCUCAAAAUAAACUCAGUUUAUAUACCAUCCGAGCCCAAUUGGUAGAAAAAUUACCUCAAAAAUUUUUGGAGUCGGCGACUGGCGAGUGAAGAGACGACUGAAUCCUUUGAAGAGAAACGAGAAAUUAGAAACUACUGAAGAGAAUUCAGAAGAUGGAUCAGUGACAGUGGCCGUUGGGAGAGGAUGGAUCGGAGAUGGUUGGCAUGCAUAGAAUGGUUCGAGCUUUCGAGGAUGGGUCUGAGAUCUAUUUGGGGGAAUGAACUAAAACUUUGAAAGGAUAAGAAAAUUGAAAUAUUAUUUAUGUAACCGGUCCAACUGGCUCGGUUGUAUAUGUAAAUAAAUUUGUACAAUAUGAUGAUUUAAGCUAUAUUUUGUAUAUAAUGAGUUUUAUACUAUUUACAUAUAGUCAAGUGUUACGUGUUGGUAUAUUUAAAAAAUGUACAUGAAUAAUUUUGAGUGCUUAAGUUAAAUAAUUUUAUGGAAUUUCAAAAAAUAAGAGUUUGUUUUUUUAUAUGUGGGUGUUCUAAAAGAUUUUUAUGUUGAAUCAAUCAUUAUAUGAAUAACUAAUAUAUAAAAUGUAGAACUUUUUUUUUGUUCUAAGAAGCGUUACUUAAUAUUCUGAACAUACGUGUAGCUCAAUUGGUUUGAGUAUUUGUUUAAAGAGUGGGGGAGGUUAAGAGUUCAAUUCUCAAAAAAAACAUUAUUAUUAUUCUUAUUCUUAUUAUUAUUAUUAUUAUUAUUAUUAUUAUUAUUAUUAUUAUUAUUAUUAUUAUUAUUAUUAUUAUUAUCAAUACUACUACUACUAUUAUUAUUAUUAUUAUUAUUAUUAUUAUUAUUAUUAUUAUUAUUAUUAUUAUUAUUAUUAGUACUACUAUUAUUAUCGUUAGUACUACUAUUAUUAUUAGUAUUACUGUUAUUAUUAUUAUUAUUAUUAUUAUUAUUAUUAUUAUUAUUAUUAUUAUUAUUAUUAUUAUUAUUAUUAUUAGUACUAUUAUUAUUAUUAUGACUGUUAUUAUUAUUAUUAUUAUUAUUAUUAUUGUUGUUAUUAUUAUUAUUAGUACAAUUAUUAUUAUUAUUAUUAUUAUUACUUUUAAUGUUAUUAUUAUUAUUAAUACUACUACUACUACUACUACUACUAUUAUUAUUAUUAUUAUUAUUAUUAUUAUUAUUAUUAUUAUUAUUAUUAUUAUUAUUAUUAUUAUUAUUAUUAUUAUUACUUUAAUUUAAGGUAACAUGUUAAUAGUCGUUGAAAAAAGUUGUAUAAAAUAUGCAACGAAAAUAAAUUUUGUUGCCAAUGAAUGUGGUCCAUAUUAGGCAACGAAAUAUAGCAACAAAAAAACUUUCGUAUCCUACGAUGAGGAGAAAUCAAGUGGUUAGAAAUUUUGCAACGAAUUUCUAAUGAAUUUUGUUUCCAAAUUUUGUAACUACUUAUGAAUUUGGUUGCAAAAAGUGAAAGCCUGACACAAUCUGCAACGAAUGACAAGUUUCGUUGUUAAACAUACACUUUUAGCAACGACUUAUAAAGUCGUUUCUUGAAAAAUCGUUGCUGAAGACCCAUUUUUAGCAACAAAAAAACUUUCGUUGCCCACGAUGACGAGAAAUCAAGUGGCUGAAAAUUUUGCAACGAAUUUCUAACAAAAUUUUUUCCCGCCAAUGAAUUAGCAACGAAAUUUUUCAAUGACUUAUGAAAUUUGUUGCAAAAAUUGAAAGCCUUACACAAUCUGCAACGAAGGACAAAUUUCGUUGCUAAACAUAUACUUUUAGCAACGACUUAUAAAGUCGUUGCCCGAAAAAUCGUUGCUAAAGGCCCAUUUUUUUGUAGUGAAUUUGAUUGGAUACAAAAAGGUUUUAUCAUAUUCAACGAUAUUUCUAAAUUUGUGUCUAGCUGGUCAAAUAGCUUAGACGACUCUUUGUUAUUGUAUACAUACUUGGAUCAAUAGGUAUAUAUAUAUAUAUAUAUAUAUCAACAUGUGAUUAAAUACAAUGAUUAUCCAAGUGGGGACACUUGAAUAACCAUAUUUAGAAACUAACGAACAGAAUAUAUAUAUCUGAAUUACCAUAUAGUACCAGGUUGAUAAUCAAUGAUCGGAUAUAACAUAUAUAACAAUAGGGUUAAUAAUCUAGUACAAUAAUAAUAUAGUUCUGAAAUAUUCUUAUUUAUGUCCAUUGCAUAAAGAAAAUGCAAAGGUAAGAUACUUGCCUAAUACGCUGCUUACAAUACGCAACUUAGUUUUUAUCUUUCGUAUAACAACAUGUCAGUAAUAAGAUCAUUUUACUUAUUAGAAUAACAUAUUGUAACACAUAAUACUACCUAUUGCAGUCAGCACAUAACCUAAUCACCUUGUCACACAUAUUCCACAGUCAUUGAAUCACAAACAAUCAUUAAUACAGUCAAAAUAUCUAACUCCAAAUCAAUUUCUGAAACAUGUCGGUGUACCAACGACUUUAUCGGGUAAUUAUCGAGUCUAAGACUCUAUUGUGUAGUUCAAUAGUCGUUUAGAUAUUUUAAAUAUCAGUCAUAUUAUUUUUCAUAGCCUUAUAAUAAUUUUUAAAUAAUUAUUAUAAUUUAUCAUAAAUUUUCAAACACUAAAAUCAUUAUUUAAUGAUUUAAAUAUUAAUUAAUUCUAUUAUCAUUAAUAUUUAAUUAAUAUUACACUAUUAAUGAAACUAUUGCCAAAAUAUUAAAGUUAUUUAUAAUAACUCAAAAUAUUUUUAAAGUAUUAAUAUUACCCUUAAAUAAUUUUUAAAAUAUUUAAAAUCAUUUUUAAAUAAUUACCAUUAAUAUUAGAAUAUUAAUUUAUUAUUUAUCAAAAUAUUAGAAGUCAUUAAUUAUAACUUAAAAUAUUUUUAAUUCAUUGAUUUCCUUUUAAAUUAUUUUUAAUUCAAUAAAACCAUUUUAAAACUAUUUAGUUAAUAUAAUUAUUAAAUAAACUUAAUAUCAUUAAUAUUAAAUUAUUAAUGAAAUUUAUCUUUAAAUAUCAAAAGUUAUAUUUUAUAAUUUAAAAUAUUUUUAAACUAUUUAUUUUCAUUUAAAAUGAUUUUUAUAAUAUUAAAAUCAUUUUUAAUUAAUUUAUUUAAUACAUUUAUUAAAUAAUUUAAAUACCAAUAAUAUCCAAAUAAAUAUUAAUAUUUAUGAAAAAUAUGUCAAAUUAUUAAAAGUUAAUUUUUAUAACUUAAAAUAAUUUUUAAAACUAUUUUUGUAAUUUUCAGAAUUUAUUUACUAUUUAUAAAUGAUUUUUAGAAAUUAAAUUAAUUAAUUUUACUAAGUCUGUCGUUAAAGCCCUUUGGCGACAGUAAGUGUCGCCUUAGGUGUUCUUGAGAAACCCAGGUGUAUAAAGUCAGUGUUCGAGUGAGCUUGUUUGACCAUCAAUAAUUCUCUGUAUGAGUUGCUUCUGGACAUGAUAUUGAUUAAAUGUUGUAGUAAGUAUGCAAGAGUACAAUUUCAUAACAAUUCCUGGACCAAAUCAUAAAACAUGACGGAGAUCUAAGCAUCAGAACAUGUUGUCAGAGCUGUUCUUCACAUUUCUGGGCUGCCCAGAAAUUCCAGUCAUGGCCGGUCAACGGUAUUGAUGACCUUAUAAAAUUAAUUCUGUUGAAGAUAUGGGUGGUAUACACGUCGGGAUGUGUAGAGUAACUAACAUAGAACUUGAUUCAAACCAUGUUCAAGUCUAAACAUAAUUAAUCAAAAAGAUCUGAGCUAGCAAACAUGUUGUCAGAGUGUUUCUGGGUUUUUCCCAGAAACCCAGCAGUUCGACCUAUCACUUUGAUGCUCGAAUUCCUUUAUGUUCUGGUCAUGAUUUAUAUCGUUUAAUUGGUCAAAUCUAUAGUAUACAUGACAAGGAACAUUAUGAUAACAACAAAUCAAUAAAUCAACAUCACAGUUAAAAGAUCUAAUUCGGUCAACCUAUGUCAGAAAGUUAUUCUUCAUAUUUCUGGAAAUUCCAAGAAAUGCAAGUCAUGAUCGAAUGAUCAAGUUUGACCGAACACUACAUUUGAUUAGUUGAUUUCUUAAAGGAUCUAAAGUCACAAAUAUAUAAUAUAUAUGACAAACUAUAAACUGGAUACAAACACAUCAUAUCAUCAAAUAAUUUAUAAACUGACAGAUCUAAGCCUUCCAAAACAUUGUCAGACGCUAAAAAAGCUUUCUGGGUUGCCCAGAUUCAUACUCGGUCAUGGUUAGUCAACGACCUUUAACCAUCAAUAACUUUCGAUCUAGAAAUCCAAUGACAUGGCUUUCACUUUCAGAUGAAAGACCUCAUAUCAGACUAUAGAUCCAAACCAUAAAACAACAAAAAUAUUAAACAUCAAAGAAUCUAUAGCCUCUGACAUUCGUUGUCAGAACAUAAAGUAAAAUUUUUCCAGAUUUUGAAAAAUGACAAAUCUGAGCCUCUAGAUGUUAUGGAUCUAACAUCUAGUAACCCAUAUCACUUAAAUAAACUACAAACAACAUGUUUUAACAUUAAAUCAUAACAUCUAACACAAGAUCAAAAGUCAAAUUUCUAGAUUAGGGUUUACCUCUUUAUGAUCAAAUUCUGAUUUCUAUGCUUCUGAUUUGAUGUUGGUGUUCGUGGGGCUUGAUUUGUGACUGAUCUAACACUAGAAUUUCGUGGGUUUGAGCUUGAGAGAAUAUGGCUAAGUGUAAGUGAUCAAAUUAGGCUAAAUGUGCACUUUCUCUCUCUUGAAUCUAACAAAUGAAUUGAUGCAAUGAACUUGUAUAUGAUAGUAGCUGAUCAUGUGUUGGUGAUGUAGCUAACAACUAGGUAGUGUACGGUGGUUGGCCAAGAUUUGAAAAGAUUUAGCUAGCAAUAAUACACCAAAUAGGACAAAAAGGGUAAAAUGAUAAUUUCACAAACAAUUCAAAGGGUAUUUUUGUCCAAGGUACUUGAAUCUAGGGUUUAAUCACUAGAUUUUACAUCUUAAAGUUUCCCAAAUAAUUACUAGUGUUUGAAAAAUUAAAAUUAAAGUGUAAUAAAAUUUUAAUUAAAACACACUUAUUAAAAUUAUGGGUUUUAAUAGAAAAUUAGGGUUUAAAUAUUAGGGUUCCUUAAUAUUAUUAAGGUUCCUAAUUUAACAAUUAGAGUUUCCUAAUUAACAUUAUAAUUUACUAAAAUAGUCAUUAGGGUUUCUAAUUUGGCAAAAAACACAUUUACCCGCCUGUGAUCGUCGACUUGUAAGCAAUUGGCCACUGAACUUUAAAAAUAUGCAAUUGGACCACUGUGCUUUUUAAAACUGAAAAUUCAGGCCAUUCCGUCCAAUUUCUUGGACGGAAGUCAAAUAAUUAUACACGUGGCAUUAAAAAAAAAAUCAAAAUAUUAUUAUUUUCGUAUAUGGCAAUACAAAAAAAAAUCAUUGAUUAUGUGGUAAAAAAUGAUUAAAAUAAUAAUAAAAUUAAAAUAAAUAAUAAUUAAUUCGUUUUAAAAUAAAAUAAUUCAUUUUAAAAUAAAAUAAUUAAUUUUAAAAAUAAAAUAAUUAAUUUUAAAAUAAAAUAAUUAAAAUAAUAAAAUGGAAUUAAUGAUUAAUAAUUAAUCAUUAACUUGUAAAAUGAUUAUUUUAUUUUUAUUUUAAAAAUUAAUUAUUAAUCAUUCCGGUUAAAAAUAUCAUUAACUUGUAAAAAAAAUCAUUUUAGCCACAUAAAAAAAAUUCUGUUUUUGUUUUUAAAAAAUUUUGUUUUUAAAAACAAAAACAGAUUUUUUUUUUAACUUGUAAAAUAAAAUUUUUAAAAAACCAAAACAGAAUUUUUUUUAACUUGUAAAAUAAAAUUCUGUUUUAAAAAAAAAAUUGUUUUUACAAAAUUCUGUUUUAAAAAUAAUUAUAUUUUUAAAAACAAAAAUAGAAUUUUUUUAUGAUUAUUUUAAAAUUAAUUAUUUAUUUUUUAUUUUAAAAUGAAUUAAUUAUUAUUUAUUUAAAAUUUAUUAUUAUUUUAAUCAAUUUUUUGCCACAUAAUCAAUGAUUUUAUUUUUGAUUUUUUUGUAUUGCCACAUAAGAAAAUAAUAAUAUUUUGAUUUUUUUUUAAUGCACGUGUGUAAUUAUUUGACUUCCGUCCAAGAAAUUGGACGGAAUGACCUGAAUUUUCAGUUUUAAAAAGCACAGUGGUCCAAUUGCAUAUUGUUAAAGUUCAGUGACCAAUUGUUUACAAGUCGACAACCACAGGCGGGUAAAGGUGCUUUUUGCCUUUCUAAUUUUAGCAAAUUAGGGUUUUCAAAUAAUAAUUAGGGUUCCUCCUAAUUACAAAAAUUCUAUAAUACGCAAUAAAAUUCAUAUACACAAUUACUACUCAGUCUUAAACUCAUAACUGAGUUUAACAAUUAGGGUUUAAUAACAUGAUAUAAGGGUUAUGACAUAAUUUACCAUAAUUGACCAACCAUUAUCAGUCUACACAUUUACAGUACAUAUUUAUAGCACUGAAAAAUUAAAAUAUAAUUAAUAUUAUAUUAUUAUUCUCAUCCCUCGAUCAAAACCCAAAGUUAGGGUUUGGAUCCCAUAACUGGUUUUAUCUUUCAUAUACAACAUUAUUAAUUAAGUUAAAAUACUUAAUCUUAAUAAUCUGAACAAAAUUCAGAUAAUAAAAUAGUAAUUACAAUAAUUCCAAUAAUCAUUUCAUAUAUUAUGUAAAUAAUAUAAAAAAUUGUAUUUUCAUAGAAAAUAAAUAAUAAAGACAUUUCUACUAUAAAAUUAAUUAUUAUAAGUAUAUACCUUAUAAUGAGCAAUAAUUUUAAAAUAAAAUUAUUUGAAAUUAUUCAUGUAAUAAAUAAAUUUUAUUUAUCACAUAUAUACAUACACAUUACUUGGCACAUAUUCUCAUCUUUAAAAAAAAAAUAUGCAAAAUUUCUUAUUUAUUUAUAUAGAAAAUAUUCAGGUUAUUACAUUCACCCUCCCUUAUAAGGAUUCCGUCCGCGGAAUCACCGUUUUAAAACCUAUACAUACACGGGUACAUAGCAUACACAAUCAUUGCAAUUAGAUCUCGAUCAUAAUUGAUCGAACCGAUCUUUAACUAUUCAGCAUAAAGCUUAUCUAUCUUUUUAAACAGAAAUUUGAUUUUUGAAAGAACUCAACUUCCUCCUUCAAAAUAAUUUAUAAAAUAAUUUACUAUAUAUAAGAAAAUAAUAUAUAAGAAAUAAAUUUUAUUUGAAUAACACCUGGAGUUGCAUCCUCGGCUGCUACCGAAUCCUGAACAGUCAUGUUGUAGACUCUUGCGGUUGAUUCUGUUGGUUCGUUUGUUGAAGUUGGUCCCGUUGUCGCCAAUGUCCUGUUGCCUUCUUCCGUAUUCGCAUUCCUUGCCUCCUUUCUCCUUCUUGGACAGUCUUUCAUCUUAUGCUCCAUUGAUUCACAAUUAAAACACCCCCUAUACAUUCGUGGAUUGGGGCAGUUAGGAGAGAUAUGUCCCUCCUGCCCGCACUUGUAACACACAACUUACCCUUUAUCUUCUUUCUUUUUUUCUAGUCCUACUACCUCUACUCCCUUUUCCAGUUUUAGCUUGAUUUUUCCUUCCACCAAAAAUUCGCUUUCCCCCUUUCAUCGUAUAGGUGACAAAAGCUGUCUUUUGCCCCUCCAUUAUCCUAGCUAUCACAAACUCUUCUACCGGGUCAGUUGAUCUUCUAAAUUCUGGCAGUACGAUUUCCAUGAAGUCUUUGAUGUUUGUUGAUCGAUUACUUGGCUGAUUUCCCGCGGCUUAUAUUUCGUUCUGCAUAGCUUGAGCGUCCAUAUUCGCAAAAUUCUAUAUCGGGUCUAGUUGACCUCCAACUUUGUUAACCGGUUCUUCUAUCCUUGUUCGUUUUCAUCUUGGUGGCAUUAUCAUAAAUUAUUCUUUAUUAACUUACAUUCUAAGCCUUAUCGUAUACGCUUAACAUAUAACGCAAAAUUUUCUAUUCAAAUAGUCAUGUACUCAAAAUAAUAGAUUUUGAAAGUUGGGUUUACUGUAUUAACCAGUGUUCAGAUAAAUAUCUACUAUCUUUAUACCAACUUAUUUCAUUAAUCCAUCGUAGACUCCUAUUCAUAACACUUGACAUACCAUAACACAUUUUGCUUUAAUCAUCCGCUAUCCCUUUUUGUGACUUAAAAGUUGGGAAUCGCUAUUUUGUAAAUAUUACCUUAUACAGACCUACUUAUCAUAUACACAACAUAGAAUCAUACCUAGUCAAGUAAUACUUAUACUACUUAUCUUCUACACAUUCGCUAAGGAUCAAUUGCUUAGUAUUUUAUAUAUUCCCAUUAUCCUCGAUAAUCCAUUCACAUAUAACUAUAUUAGUCCUCCUUGUAGCCAUUUCGUAUUCGUUUGAUUAUUGAGUUUCUAGAGGUCAAGGGUUCAAGGGCUGGUGAGGAAAUGGAGUAGUAAUUCAAGAAGGAUAUGAGGUAUUCUAAAAUACUUCCCUUUUUUCUUACCACACAUUAUGAGUAUAAGAACUUACCACAAUCAUAAGAGUUUAAGAACUCGAGCUUAAUCUUAUAUUCUGUAACUAUACUCUACCUAUCAGUUAUACUAUCGUUUCUGGGUACGGUACUGCACUUUCUAAGAUAAUCACCUCGUUGAGGUAGCUUUCAAUAUGAGCCUCUAUUUCAGCUAUUGGCUUUGAUAUUGGCUCGAUUAUGGAGGUUGACUCCUUCUAUACGACCUGAGCGUAUCCUAAUCCUUAUCUCACAUAACAUCUACACACUAACUAUCUUGAUUAACAAAGAAUAUAUACACACGACAAAUAAUAGUUUUAUACAAGUUAUCUUUUAUUUUGUUUGACAAUGAAUUUAUUCAAUUUAUCUUCUUUAAAACUCUAUUUGAGUUAUUUGUAUUUUCAACGUUUCCCCUUGUCCCAAGGUUAUAGCCUAAGGUCUAUCCCACCUAAGGUUUCUAAUCCUAAAGCUCUGAUACCAUGUUGUGACGCCCCCAAAUUCAGGUACUUGAAACCCGAACUCGGUGCCUCACGAUACCAUUUCUAUGAGCGGAAUAAUACUAAUAAUGAUAACAAUAAUAUACGUAUCAAACUUAUCUUACAUUUAUCAGAGUCUAAUCCUAAGUACGCAACCUUUACUACAAUAUAUUACAUGAUAGAUAAUAAACAUCACGGUCUAUAUAUUGUCUAAUUAUUACAAAAGAUACCAAUAAACAUAUCCUGUUUGCUUUCCUCUUUCCAUUGUUCUUGGCCGAACCUUCUAGCUGUUCACACUUAGUUGAAAACAUUUAAAUUAAGCAAGGAUGAGCAUUUGAGUGCCCAGCAAGUAAUAACAUUUAUAAAUAUAAUUAGCUGAAAGGAUUAAAUGUUUUCUUUGUACUACCCUUCUACAACAAAUCAAAAGUUGUGAAGUAAUCUGGACUGAUAAUAAUAACAUAACAACUCUUUAUCAAAUUUUUGAAACUACGUACUGACUAUAAAUGGGGUUAAGGUGACAUACUAUGAACAUUGUUUUUCAUUUUCGCUAAGGUUUAGCAGAACUUCAUCCGCAAACCGUCAUAACUUACGGACACGAGGGUGAUCUGCUCAAUUUGCCAUGUAUUGAUCAAUACUAUAUGCAAUAACGAUAUUAUCGUUCACUCUGUCUGCCUUGGGCGCAUAAAAGUUUUUCCAUAUUCGGGAUGUUCAUACUUAGUCUAGAAUCCGAACCAAAACAAUUUGAUUGGAUAUAAAAAGGUUUUAUCAUAUUCAACGAUAUUUCUAAAUUUGUGUCUAGCUGGUCAAAUAGCUUAGACGACUCUUUGUUAUCGUAUACAUACUGGGAUCAAUAAGUAUAUAUAUAUAUAUAUAUAUAUAUAUAUAUAUAUAUAUAUCAACAUAUAAUUAAAUACAAAGAUUAUCCAAGUGGGGACACUUGAAUAACCAUAUUUAGAAACUAACGAACAAAAUAUAUAUAUCUGAAUUACCAUAUAGUACCAUGUUGAUAAUCAAUGAUUGGAUAUAACAUAUUUAACAAUAGGGUUAAUAAUCUAGUACAAUAAUAAUAUAGUUCUGAAACAUUCUUACUCAUGUUCAUUGCAUAAAGAAAAUGCAAAGGUAAGAUAUUUGCCUGAUACGCUGCUUACAAUAUGCAACUUAGUUUUUAUCUUUCGUAUAACAACCUAUUAGUAAUAAGAUCAUUUUACUGAUUAAAAUAACAUAUUGUAACACAUAAUACUGCCUAUUGCAGUCAGCACAUAACCUAAUCACCUUGUCACACAUAUUCCACAGUCAUUGAAUCACAAACAAUCAUUAAUACAGUCAAAAUAUCCAAGUCCAAAUCAAUUUCUGAAAUAUGUCGGUGUACCGGCGGCUUUAUCGAGUAAUUAUCGAGUCUAAGACUCUAUUGUGUAGUUCAAUAGUCGUUUAGAUAUUUUAAAUAUCAGUCAUAUUAUUUUUCAUAGCCUUAUAAUAAUUUUUAAAUAAUUAUUAUAAUUUAUCAUAAAUUUUCAAACACUAAAAUCAUUAUUUAAUGAUUUAAAUAUUAACUAAUUCUAUUAUCAUUAAUAUUUAAUUAAUAUUAAACUAUUAAUGAAACUAUUGCCAAAAUAUUAAAGUUAUUUAUAAUAACUCAAAAUAUUUUUAAAGUAUUAAUAUUACCCUUAAAUGAUUUUUAAAAUAUUUAAAAUUAUUUUUAAAUAAUUACCAUUAAUAUUAGAAUAUUAAUUUAUUAUGUAUCAAAAUAUUAGAAGUCAUUAAUUAUAACUUAAAAUAUUUUUAAUUCAUAUAUUUCCUUUUUAAAUGAUUUUUAAUUCAAUAAAACCAUUUUAAAACUAUUUAUUUAAUAUAAUUAUUAAAUAAACUUAAUAUCAUUAAUAUUAAAUUAUUAAUGAAAUUUAUCUUUAAAUAUCAAAAGUUAUAUUUUAUAACUUAAAAUAUUUUUAAACUAUUUAUUAUCAUUUAAAAUGAUUUUUAUAAUAUUAAAAUUAUUUUUCAUUAAUUUAUUUAAUAUAAUUACUAAAUAAAUCUAAUAUCAUUAAUAUUUAAUAAUUAAUGAGACUUAUCUUAAAAUAUUAAAAGUUAUGUUUUAUAACUUAAAAUAUUAUUAAAUACCUUNNNNNNNNNNNNNNNNNNNNNNNNNNNNNNNNNNNNNNNNNNNNNNNNNNNNNNNNNNNNNNNNNNNNNNNNNNNNNNNNNNNNNNNNNNNNNNNNNNNNUUAAAUAAUUUAAAUACCAAUAAUAUCCAAAUAAAUAUUAAUAUUUAUGAAAAAUAUGUCAAAUUAUUAAAAGUUAAUUUUUAUAACUUAAAAUAAUUUUUAAAACUAUUUUUGUAUUUUUCAGAAUGUAUUUACUAUUUUUAAAUGAUUUUUAGAAAUUAAAUUAAUUAAUUUUACUAAGUCUGUCGCUAAAGCCCUUUGGCGUCUGUAAGUGUCGCCUUAGGUGUUCUUGAGAAACCCAGGUGUUCAAGGUCAGUGUUCGAGUGAGCUUGUUUGACCAUCAAUAAUUCUCUGUAUGAGUUGCUUCUUGACAUGAUAUUGAUUAAAUGUUGUAGUACGUAUGCAAGAGUAAUAUUUCAUAACAAUUCUUGGACCAAAUCAUAAAACACGAGGGAGAUCUAAGCAUCAGAACAUGUUGUCAGAGCUGUUCUUCACAUUUCUGGGCUGCCCAGAAAUUUCAGUCAUGGCUGGUCAACGGUAUUGAUGGCCUUAUAAAAUUAAUUCUGUUGAUGAUAUGGGUGGUAUACACGUUGGGAUGUGUAGAGUAACUAACAUAGAACAUGAUUCAAACCAUGUUCAAGUCUAAACAUAAUUAAUCAAAAAGAUAUGAGCUAGCAAACAUGUUGUCAGAGUGUUUCUGGGUUUUUCCCAGAAACCCAGCAGCUUGACCUAUCACUUUCAUGCUCGAAUUCCUUUAUGUUCUGAUCAUGAUUUAUAUCGUUUAAUGGGUCAAAUCUAUAGUAUACAUGACAAGGAACAUUAUGAUAACAACAAAUCAGUAAAUCAACAUCACAUUUAAAAGAUCUAAUCCGGUCAACCUAUGGCAGAAAGCUGUUCUUCAUAUUUCUGGAAAUUCCCAGAAAUGCAAGUCAUGAUCGGAUGAUCAAGUUUGACCGUCCACUACGUUUGAUUAGUUGAUUUCUUAAAGGAUCUAAAGUCACAAAUAUAUAGUAUAUAUGACAAGCUAUAAACUGGAUGCAAACACAUUAUCAAAUAAUUUAUAAACUGACAGAUCUAAGCCUUCCAAAACAUUGUCAGACGCUGAAAAAGCUUUUUUGGUUGCCCAGAUUCAUACUCGGUCAUGGUCGGUCAACGACCUUUGACCAUCAAUAACUUUCGAUCUAGACAUCCAAUGACACUGCUUUCACUUUUCGAUGAAAGACCUCAUAUCCGACUAUAGAUCCAAACCAUAAAACAACAAAAAUAUUAAACAUCAAAGAAUCUGCAGCCUCUGACAUUCGUUGUCAGAACAUAAAGUAAAAUUUUUCCAGAUUUUGAAAAAUAAUAAAUCCGAGCCUCUAGAUGUUAUGGAUCUAACAUCUAGAAACCCAUAUCACUUAAAUAGACUACAAACAACAUGUUUUAACAUUAAAUCAUAACAUCUAACACAAGAUCAAAAGUCAAAUUUCUAGAUUAGGGUUUACCUCUUUAUGAUCCAAUUCUGAUAUCUAUGCUUCUGAUUUGAUGUUGGUGUUCGUGGGGCUUGAUUUGUGACUGAUCUAACACUAGAAUUUCGUGGGUUUGAGCUUGAGAGAAUAUGGCUUAAGUGUAAGUGAUUAAAUUAGGCUAAAUGUGCACGUUCUCUCUCUUGAAUCUAGCAAAUGAAUUGAUGCAAUGAACUUGUAUAUGCUAGUAGCUGAUCAUGUGCUGGUGAUGUAGCUCACAACUAGGUAGUGUAGGGUGGAUGGCCAAGAUUUGAAAAGAUUUGGCUAGCAAUAAUACACCAAAUGGGACAAAAAGGGUAAAAUGGUAAUUUCACAAAUAAUUCAAAGGGUAUUCUUGUCCAAGGUACUUGAAUCUAGGGUUUAAUCACUAGUUUUUACAUCUUAAAGUUUCCCAAAUAAUUACUAGGGUUUUAAAAAUUAAAAUUAAAGUGUAAUAAAAUUUUAAUAAAAACACACUUAUUAAAAUUAGGGUUUUUAAUAGAAAAUUAGGGUUUAAAUAUUAGGGUUCCUUAAUAUUAUUAGGGUUACUAAAUUAACAAUUAGGGUUUCCUAAUUAACAUUAUAAUUUACUAAAAUAGUAAUUAGGGUUUCUAAUUUUAGCAAAUUAGGGUUUUCAAAUAAUAAUCAGGGUUCCUCCUAAUUACAGAAAUUCUAUAAUACACAAUAAAAUUCAUAUACACAAUUACUAGUCUGUCUUAAACUGAUAACUGAGUUUAACAAUUAGGGUUUAAUAACCCGAUAUAAGGGUUAUGACAUAAUUUACCAUAAUUAACCAACCAUUAUCAGUCUACACAUUUACAGUACAUAUUUAUAGCACUAAAGAAUUAAAAUAUAAUUAAUAUUAUAUUAUUAUUCUCAUCCCUCGAUCAAAACCCAAAGUUAGGGUUUGGAUCCCAUAUCUGGUUUUAUCUUUCAUAUACAACAUUAUUAAUUAAGUUAAAAUACUUAAUCUUAAUAAUCUGAACAAAAUUCAGAUAAUAAAAUAGUAAUUACAAUAAUUCCAAUAAUUAUUUCAUAUAUUAUGUAAAUAAUAUAAAAAAUUGUAUUUUCAUAGAAAAUAAAUAAUAAAGACAUUUCUAUUAUAAAAUUAAUUAUUAUAAAUAUAUACCUUAUAAUGAGCAAUAAUUCUAAAAUAAAAUUAUUUGAAAUUAUUCAUGUAGUAAAUAAAUUUUAUUUAUCACAUAUAUACAUACACAUUACUUGGCACAUAUUCUCAUCUUUAAAAUAAAUAAAAAAUUAAUAUGCAAAAUUUCUUAUUUAUUUAUAUAGAAAAUAUUCAGGUUAUUACAAUAGCUAUGCUCGACAUUCUGAGGAUUUCACCAUACGAGAGGACCAAUGGCAUUUGGCCAGAGUGGAUGCAUUCUUAAUGUGCAUAGCGGCGUAUGUGUUCAUGCCACGAUAUAUGGAUGAGCUGGAUAUCGGUGUUAUCAUGGCAGUGAGAGCUCUCAGGGAGGGUCAUACCAUUAUCUCAAUGAUUGUGGCGGAGACGCUGAGGUCGACCACGUUUUGCAGCACUUACCUUGCAGAGGUAUUUACAGGCAGUUCGAUUAUGUUGUACUUGUGGUUUAUGUUACACUUGGGACCAAUUGGGACCUUCUGCCAACACGAGUAUUGCUUCACCCAUGAUAUAGUUAUGUCUUACUCCUUUCAGCCAUCGGAGUGUACAUACGCUAUGUCUUGGUCGAUGUUCUUGGCGGAUAUCAGAGAUCCCUUUGGCAUUCUGCCGUACACAGGGCUUAGUUCACCCUACAGCUUAAUUACUUAUGCUCCGGGCAUGGACUAUCUCUCCCUGGCUGGUUUGAGGGGCAUGACUACCUAUCACCUGCUAGCUGUGAUGUCACAGUUUGACCAGUUUUAAGACUUCCAUCCUUUCGAGGGGGCGCUAGGUCAGUGUUUAACUUCUCGCCAUCUAUCAGCAGAGGACCGAUCCCGGGUGUAUGCAUGUUGGGAUCAGCGUGAGAUAGCUGCUUUCUCUAUUAGCCAUCCGGGCUGUUCGUUAGAGUAUUCGGCGUGGAUGGAGACAAAGACUUCAUCGGCUGCGGCAGUAUCCAUAGUGCCGGAUAUUGAUUCAGACGAUGGAGAGUCCAUGGAGGACAUUGAUUCUCACAUCGAUGAGGAUCCAUUUACUGGGUUGCCAGCAUCUCCUUUGGAUUCUCCCAGUACUAGCACUAUUGUGAUCCAGCACUCGGCACAAUAUUUUGAGCAGAGUCUUCAUCUAAUGACCUUCAAGAGAGAUCAGGCUAGAGCCUUGAUAUUGAUAGCCCUUGAUGGGAGAGACGUAGCUCUGUCAGAGAGGGAUGAGGCAUUAGCUCGUAGAGAUGCCGCUGUUGUUGAGCGGGAUGAGGCCAGAUCAGCCAGAGAUGUCGUGUCAGUUGAAAGGGAUAUUGCCAUAUCUGUUCGGGAUGUAGCCAUCAUAGAUAGUACUACAUUGAGAUCCCUUACCACUGGCAUAAUUGUAGAGAUGAGCACCUGGUGUAAGAGGUUCAACAUUGUAUGUGGCAUAAAGGGUGUAGGAGUGUUUUUGUUGUUUUUGUUUUUGUAAGGAGAAGGGUGUAAGAAAUGUUUUUAUUGUUUUUGUUUUAUUGCGACCGGGCCAUAUAGAAUGGUUGCCUACGUACUCCUAUUGAAGAGGAGAUCAGGUCGACGUAGUUCGCCCCUCAGGAUGAUUCGCAGCCGAAGAGAAGUAUGAAUCCCAUGUACAGAUUAUACUACGGGGAGAAGAAAGUUUGAUCCCAUGAUUGGGACAAACUGCAGGUGUAAAAAAGUUUGAUCCCGUUUUCAAGACAAAUUGCAAGCGUAGAAAAGUUUAAUUCCGUCUUCAAGAUAAACUGCAAGUGUGAAAGGUUCAAUCCCUGGGGGGAUAACCAAACUCGUAUGAACGGAAUGAAGCCAGGCUACUGGCUUGAAGAGUAUGUUUCCUUGAGGGGCAAAGUGUGAAAAAGAGUUGUAUGUAGUGAAGGGUUAAAGAACCGGAAUGACUGGUGAUCUGAUGAUCCAACGCCAUGAUGUUUGCUUGAUGGUAACUUCAGACAUAGUACCGUUUCACGGUGUCCGAGUUGAUGAGUUGUGGAAAUUCAUCACCGUCCAUUUCUUGUAAUCUGAGAGUGCCUCCUGUCAAUACCUCCUUGACAACAAACGAGCCUUCCCAGUUAGGGGAAAAUUUUCCCUUGGACUGAUCUUGGUUGUCCAGGAUCUUCUUUAAAAGCAAGUCAUGUUGAUUAAACUGCCGUAGCCGGACUUUUUUGUUGUAGGAUCUGGCGAUCCUUUGUUGAUAUAAUUGACCAUAGAAGAUAGCCGCGGUUCGCCUUUCGUCUAUUAGAGACAAUUGGUGAUACCUGUCUUGUACCCAUUGGUCUUCAUCUAGCUGAGAGUCUAUCAACACUUUGAGGGAUUCCAUUUCAAUUUCUAUGGGGAGCACUGCUUCCAUCCCAUAGGUUAAUGCGUAGGGGGUUGCCCCAGUGGAAGUGCGCAUUGAUGUUCUGUAGGCUAACAAAGUAAGAGGCAAUAAGUCAGUCCAUCCUUUGCGGUUGGCGGACAUCUUUUGCAUGAUCUUCUUAAUGUUUUUGUUAUCCACUUCAACAACACCAUUCAUCUUUGGACGGUAGAUAACGGAGUUAAGACGUUUGAUGUGGAAUUUACUGCAUAACUCCUCCAUCAUUCUGUUGUUGAGGUUCUUAGCAUUGUCUGACACAAUUACCUCUGGUUGUCCAUAUCGACAAAUGACAUUGUUUCUGAUGAAAGCAAUGAUGACUUCUUUGGUAACCCUGGGGAAAGAAUUUGCCUCUACCCAUUUGGUGAAGUAGUCGAUCAUGGUGAAGAUAAAGUGAUGCCCAUUAAUAGCUUUGGGAUCGAUGGGACCGAUCACGUCCAUUCCCCACAUUGAGAAGGGCCAAGGUGAACUCAUAUUGUGGAGCUCCUCGGAGGGGCGUGGAUGGCAUUUCAAUGAAUUUGGCAUUGAUAACACCUCUUGACGUGAUCAUCACAGUCAAAUUUGAGGGUAAGCCAGUAAUGUUCUGUCCUAAGGAUCUUCUUAACAAGCAGUGGGCCACUCAUGUGUGGGCCACAUAUUCCACCAUGGAUCUCAUCCAUGAGUCUCUGAGCUCGGUCCUGGUCCAGACAUCUGAGGAGACCUAGUCCUUCAUCUCUCUUGUAGAGUGUAUCUCCGCUCAGGUAGAAUUUCAUAGCAAGUCAAUGGAUCCGCCUUUUCUCAGUCGGGCUCGCCUCAGCGGGUGUAGAUCCAUCUCGUAGGUACUCCUUGAUAUGUUGAUACCAAGGGUGCUGGAUGGGAGGUAGCUCAUCCGAUACUUCUCCAACAUAGUUCCCAUAGGUUGGUGCCUUGUGUAAGACAAAUGUAAUGCUUGGCAUGUGUUCCUUGUCCAUCAUGUGAAUCAAGGAGGCCAAAGUUGCUAAUGCAUCUGCAAAGUCAUUCCUAUUACGAUGAAUAUAUAGAAAUGAGAUCUCUUCAAACUCUGAAGCCAUCUGUAAAACUUGACGAUUGUAAGGCAGCAAAUGUAGCUCUUUGGUUUGAUAGAUUCCUGUGGAUUAUCUGAUUACCAACUCCAAAUCCCCAAAGACAGUUAAACUCUUGAUGCCCAUUGAACGGGCAAGUUUUAGCCCCAUGAGACAGCCUUCAUAUGACAAACUAUAAUUUAACGACGACGGGAUACUGAUCCCUCGUACCGGAUACAAGAACUGCUCCAGCUCCAGAUCCUUCCAUAUUAACAGCUCCAUUAAAAUACAUUUUCUAUGUAUGGAUUGUAUCGUACUGAUGGUGUUGCUAAACUGUCAUUAUCCCUUCAUCGGGGAAGUAGGUUUCCAAGGGUUUAAAGUUCCUGAAGGUGCGGUGGCCAGUUGAUCCGCACUUCCUUGACCUUUGAUAGACUUUUGAGUCACGUAAACGAUUUCAAAUUGUUGUAGGUUCAACUGCCAUCUGGAUAGCCGUCAAUUUAACAUGGGUUUAUUGAAUACGUACUUGAGAAGAUCCACGCGAGAUAUGAGAUGGGUUGUGUGACCAUGUAGGUAAUGAUGUAACCUCAUGGAAGCCCAUGCUAAAGCACAACAAGUCUUCUCAAUUAGAGUGUAAUUGUGUUCACUGCUGCUGAAUCUUUUGCUAAGGUAAUAGAUAGCUCGUUCUUGGCCUCUAUCAUCUUUCUGUCCCAGCAUGCAGCCUAUGGCAUUGUCACUUAUGGACAGGUACAUAAAUAUGGGAACAUCAUCCCUGGGUGGUACCAAAAUGGGAGCUUUAACUAGCUGCUCUUUGAUUGUGAGGAAGGCUUUUUGACACUCGUCGUUCCAUUUCAUGGAGGAGUUCUUCCUUAAGAACUUGAGGAUAGGCUCACAGGUUGCUGUGAGUUGAGAAAUAAACCUGCUAAUGAAGUUGAUUCUUCCCAAAAAUCCCCGUAUUUAUUUCUUUGUCUGAGAAAUAGGAAUAUCCGUGAUGGUCUGAAUUUUGGUGGGAUCCAGCUUAAUCCCUUUGUGGCUGACUAGGAAUCCUAGCAACUUGUUUGAUUUAACGCCAAGGCGCACUUUGCUGGAUUCAAAUUCAAGUUAUACUUAUGCAACCUGUUGAAGAGCUUUCUGAGAUGGUAUAAGUGGUCUUCUUCCCUUCGAGACUUAACAAUGAUGUCAUCCACGUAGAUCUCUAUCUCUUUAUACAUUAAGUCGUGGAAAAGAGCCAUCAUAGCUCGUUGAUAUGUGUCUCCGACAUUGAUGAGGCCGAAUGACAACCAUCUAUAGCAAAAAGGUCCACAAGGCGUGAUGAAAGCAGUUUUCUCACGAUCUUCCUCAACAACCAUAAUCUGGUGGUAUCCUACGAAGCAAUUCGCAAAGGAGUACAUGUCAUAUUGAGCAGUAUUGUCAAUGAGAAUGUGGAUAAAUGGCAAGGGAAAGCUAUCUUUAAGGCAAGCUUUGUUCAGAUCCUGGUAAUUCAUGCAAACUCGCACCUUUCCUCCAGGUUUAGGCACGGAAACUAUGUUGGAUAUCCAUCCAGGAUAUGUGGACACUAUGAUAAUACUAGCUUGAAAUUGUUUCACAAUUUCUUCUUUCACCUUUAAACUCUACUCAGGCUUAGCUUUUGCUUGACUGACUUGAAUCCUUCUUUAAUGGGUAGGCGAUGACGAACAAUGUCAGUGGACAAACCCACCAUGUCUUUGUGAGACCAUCCAAACACAUCCUGGAAUUGGGUUAGUAGCGUAACCAUGUCAUUUCUCUGGUUUGGGGUAAGGUCUGAACCAAUCUGGAUUAACUUAGGGCUUUCUAAGGUUCCAAGAUUGAAGGAGUGGUUUGAUCAAGGUUGGGUUUAGGUUUGUCUUCGACCCAUUCUUUAAUCUCCAGAGGCACCUCAAUGUCCUCAUAUAUUUCCAUCAAGGCUGAAUCCAACUCUACAUCAAAGUUACAAUCCUUGUGGAGAAGAGGCAUCUUAUCAGCAAGUACAGGCACAUCAAAAUUCAGGGUCCUGAAACAAAAUAUGCUUUCACUUAGUAUAUAUGAAAUGGUUUGAUCAUACACAGUGUUAGCAUGUACUGACAAAACAAAUGUUAAUACUGUAUAGAAAAGUAAGCAGUUAUGAUAUCUACAAGGCAAAAAGAGUUCCUGCCCGUUUUACCCUCGUAGACCAAUGCAAGGAGUGCUUCUCCAAUUGUCGAGGGCAAAGUCCUGGUGGACUGCAGUGAUGGAGGGGUUGCCAUCGUCCUCCGUCUCUUGAAUGAUGACCAUUACGUCUGGGCAAUCAUCGUCUGGGGUGUAUCUGUUUGUAUGAUCAUCACGGACAAUGAUGUGUAUGCCUGACAUCAUUCUGACGAUGUCUUGAUUAAUUCUUUGUUCCUCUUCUUCCACUCUGGGGUCUGGAACAAAGACUUCUUUCUCCUUUAUCGGUAUCGGCUUGGGAAAUAACAUAGCCAUUACGCUGGCUGUCACCUUUACCGGAGGUUAUGUGGACUCAGGAUUUGUAGGUGGAGACAAUCAUCGUGUAACUGAAGCUGGAAGAAUCUGAUGAUGCAUAUGUGGAUUCCUGUGACUGGAACUAGCAGAAUAACCCAGUCCAGCUAUCCCAGUUUGGCUGAUCACUUAAAUCGGGUGCUUAAUACCCUGAUGACUUUUACCCAACCCUUGUCCUGGCUGAUGACCCAAAGAUAUCAUUUCUUGAGUAGCCGACAUUACUUCAGAAAAAAUCUUGGGUAUGAGUGGUGGCACCCCAAUAGGGUGGUAGUGAGUGUUGCUCACCUCCAGGGCAUGAAAAUUGAUCGGCUCAACUUCUGAGUUGAAGCUGAAGAGUGGUAUGUCACUUUAUUUAGGACAUUCUGGUUCAGCGUUAACCGUGACUAGGCUAUCAUUAAUGAUGUAUUUCAAUUACUGAUGAAGAGUGGAGGGGACGGCCCCAGCCUUAUGAAUCCACGGUUUUCCCAAUAGCAGGUUGUAUCCUGAAUCUAUUUUGAUCACGUGAAAAGAUACGUAUAAUGUAUAGGGACCAAUCUCGAUUGGCAGCUAAAUCUCUUCGACUAAAUUCCUGUGGACUCCGUUGAAAGCUUUAAUGAUCGUAUGGCUACUUCAAAUCCGUUUGAGAUUGACGUUCAUCUUCAGGAAAGUAGUAUAAGGACAAAUAUUCAGAGACGACCCUCCAUCUAUCAAAACUCCAGCUAGCAUGUACCCGGAGGACAAAACCGCAAUGUGCAACGGCUUGCAAUGACCGGUCUUUUCUGGCGGUAUAUCAUCAUCAGUGAAUGAUAUCACAUUGUUGUUAAAAAUGUGAUCAACCAAAUAUUGAAAUUUUUCCACAUCCACUGAUGUCGGCAAGUAGGCUUCUUCCAAAACCUUCAGUAAGAUCUUCCUGUGAACCUUGGAAGUUAAAACCAAGUCCAGGAUUGAAAUUUGGUGUGGAGCUUCUCUUAAGCUUAAAACCACCUUGGCUUCGUUAUGACCCAUAGUGCGGAGGAAUUUUUCAAUCUUCUCCAUGGGUAUUUUCCCCUUUGAUUUUAUGGUAGACUUCAUCACCCGUUGGGGAAGAUACAAUGGAUUUUCCUUCGACACUGUCGCAGUUGUAUGAGAGGUGGAUCCUUCAGCUUCUCCAUAAUUCCAUGGGACUUUUUUAAAGUUGAUAACAUGAUAUUGUGUUUUGAAUGGCAAGUUGAUCGGCUCGGGAGCAGCCACUAUCAAAGGAUUGUCAAUUCCUUUGAGUUGAAUUUCUUGCAUUAUGAAAGGUUUGACAGUUCCAUCAGCCUCGGUGGAUAUAACUGCUACCAGUCCCUUCCAUUUAGUAGGACAAAUAUUCUUACUUUCAAAUAAAACAGUAUCAUUUUCUGCUAGCUGCAGGACACCGUUGUCAAUUAGGUUCUGAAUAAGGUGGCGGAGUGCCCAACAUUCUUCCGUACUGUGACCGCGAGAAUGGGAGUGAUAUUGGCAUACUCCAUCAGAAUUAAACCGUCUUGAGUGGGAAUUAAUUGGAGGCAGAAGGGAAGUGAUCCUUCCUUCAUUGAUCAACAUCUGAAGUAUCUCCUCCAGAGGUUGGCCCAUGUAUGUAAAUUCCCUUCUAUUGGCAAAAUCCCGACGGGCUUUGGCACUUGCUAUCUUCGUCACGUUGUCUUCCAGUGUUUCUUUCUCUAAAGGUGACGAGGGAGUAUUCACAACAAAAGGGAGCAGACUAGCAUGCUCCUGGCUGACUAAUUGACGUGUGACUUGAUGUUGAUAGGUCACCAAUUCUGCCAAUUGCUCAAUCUGCUUACAGAGAGCUUUUAUCUUUCGUUCCAUUGCGAACUGGAACUUUGUAUAUUACCAUUUAUCAACACCGUCUUUGAUGGUCUGGGAUGAUUCAUUGUUAAAAUUGGAACUCUGUCCACUGCUCCAAUUGAUCAUGUUGACCUCUUCCUCUUUGUGUUGAGGAAGAGGGUUGUCUUGUACGUGAGGUUGAUCUGGUUUGGUGAACACGAUCUCACUGUUGUCUAUUAAAUCUUGGAUCUUGUGUUGUAAGGCCCAACAAUCUUGAGUAUUAUGUCCAGGUGCCCCGGCAUGAUAAGCACAUUUUCGAGCAGCAUUGAAACCCCUCCCAUUAAGGUUGGCUGGUGGAAGAAGAUGCAUAAUUUUCUUCUGAGUCAUCAGAAGAGUGAGAAUGUUCUCGAGCGAGUCCCUUAAGGGUGUGAAUACUCGAGGGCAUUUGACUUCUCCACCUUUUGGCAAUGGAGGGUUUGAAGAUUGUGUUUGAAAGGGAGUGUAAUUUCUCCUCUAGAUAGGCAUAUUUUGAUUGCCUUUCUGACCUUGUAGUAUCAAGGAAACAUCCUCCUCUUUCUUUUUAUGGACCCUCCGGGGGUUGUUUCCAUAAUUUUUCGGAUUGGAUGUGCUCAGCAACAACUUUAAGGGCAACUAGGUGUUGAAUCUUUCCUGACAUCAAUCCCAUCUCAGCCAUCUCCCCAUGUUUAAUCAUUUCAGAAAAUGGUUUGCCAAUGCCAGCUAACACUCUUUCAUAGAAGGGAGCUUCUUGUAUGUCUAUGAAGGUCAUGACCAUUUAUGAUUCUGUCAUGGAAGGAAUAACUUGAGCAGCAAGGCACCUUUGAGCAUACUCUCUGAAAGACUCAUUGGACUGUUUCUUGACCUUGGUAAUUUGGUACCGGUCAGGAGCCAUCUGAGACUAGAAGCUGUAUUGAGUGAGGAAGGCCUGAGCAAGCUCCUCCCAACUAUGGAUCUUUGAGUUGUCUAAUCUGGUAUACCACGAACGGGAUUCUCCAGUCAGACUCUUUUGGAACAGCUGCAUCCUGAGCUUUUCGCCCUAUGCAUAAGAUCCAAGUUCUCCAAUGAACACCUUAAAAUGUGUGUAAGGAUCUCCUUAACCAUCAUAUUUUUUGAAGUCAGGAGUUUUGAACUUUUCUAGAUAAUGAACACCAGGGAAUAUACAAAGGUCAGCAUAUGAGACACUUCCGUGUGCUCCAAUUCCUUUGAUCGCACGAAGGGUUUCUUCCAUUUGAAGGACUUUCUUCUUGAUGUCACCGGUGUCUGGAUCUCCUUUGAAAUGGGUGGUAUCAUGAAUUUUGUUGGUCGUAUCCAACUGAAGUUCAGGUUCUGUAAUGGCUUUUAUCAGGACCUUGGGUUCCUCCUUGUGUAGAGGAUUCAGCAUGUAUGGGUAUCCUCGUACCCUGAGUAGAUUGGUGUAGUUCUUUAAGCAGAACAGCCAAAUCUUUGAUUUGUUUACUUAAUCCGUCAAAUUCUUUGCGAGAAUAUGGAUUAAGGUCAGUCUGGUCUGAUGAUGACAUAAUUGACUUUAGGCUCGUGGCCUUUUUGGAUUUUGAUCGGGUAAUAGGUCCGAUUGCUUCCCUGCAAAAGACUUGCGUAGUUUAGUCUUUAGGGAAUGUGUAAAUGUUUACAUGCUAUGUAUCCGUUCUAGGAAUAUUAUCCUGCAAGGCGAAUGUUAGCUGUUUGUAAUACAUGAUAGUAUGUUAAUUUAAAUAUGUAUGUACACAUGUUUCUUCAUAUUUCUCAUUACAUGGAGAUGAAUAUGGAAUGAAAUUACAAGUAAUUGAUUUUUAUGAGUAAUUUGAAAUGAGAAAGCAAGAAGAGACUUUCCUCCGCGUUUGGUUUAUCAGAUGAUGGCCUAUCUUAGGUUACUCUCGCGGCUUUUUGGCAUGAAGGUUCCCAAAUCAUCACAAUUUACUCGACGAGAAAUUAAUCUGGUCUUUCAACUGGAGCGAAUUUGGGUGGUGCCUUUCCUGAGCCUCGUUGGGAUUAGUCUUCUUAUGACUCCAGUAAUCAAACACCGAUAAGAUAGCCUCCUGAUGGAGGAACCACACAACAUAUAUUCACAUACAACGUGUCUCACCGUUUAUGAAAAUGAUGACAUGUGCGAAGUACUAAUAUCACAAGCAGAUAUAAUGUAAAGCAUUAAAUGCAGAAAAAUAUAUGCAUUCGUACGCAUUCAUCAUAAAUGUAAAUGCAACAUUCACACACAAGCAUAUAACAGUUUUGAAAAGCUUGUAAUAGCGGCUUAAGUCCUCUUACUGGUAUAGUCCCCAGCAGAGUCGCCACCUGUCGACAUCGGGAUUUUUAUUUGUCCCUUUUUGUUACUUGUUCUUUGGUGUUCUCAUGUUAGGUAAGAUUUGUUUGAAAAAACAAGUGAAAAAGGUUCGACAUGUAUCAUGUCGACGAUGGACUGUUAAGAGUCGUCAAUUGGUUUUUUAUAUGGUUAUACUAACACAACCGAGAAAAGUUUUGCACAUUGACCCAGUGAUGUGGCACUACUAAACGGGUCGGUGAAACCGAGAUUCAUUAGGGUCCGGGGACUUGAUUAUGCGGAGGGAAGGUGUUAGGCACACCCCGACAUCAGUGUUACCACGGUGACCGCCACUUUUCAAGAAACAAUUAUAUAAAUGUGUGUGUGUGUGCGGUUCAAUGUGUUGUUAUUUGGAAGUAGUGUGAGGCCUUGUUCGCACCUAUAUACACAAGGUUUGAAUUUGUGUAAAAAUUCAGUUUUAAACAAGAUAUGGCAGUGAUGUUUUAUAAAGGAGGUUUUUCAAACCCUUAUGCUCAAUAGUAAUUGAGACCUUUUACACUCCCAUUUUUAUUAAGUGUUCGGCUUGAUUGUUUUUUAUUUUCGAGAUGCGAAGCAUCUUAGAGAAAAUAAUGUACAAAAUAGUGUCGAACUCCUCGUGGGUAUGAAAACCAUCUGAGGAAAUAUAAACACCGUGAAUAAAUUUAUAAGCUUCUUACAGCUGGAAAUGUCCAUCAAGGGAACCGAAUCUAGAUCCAGUAAACUGAAUAUGUGAUCACAUGAUUCCUAGGCUAACAUGAUGUCGCGAUUGAUAAUAAAGUAGUAAGCAGGUAUAUAUAUAAAAGCUGUAAAUAUAUAUAUAUACAGACAUGAUUCACCACCACGAAGCAACUCCAUGGGGGAUCAGAAAUGUAAAUAAAUCUGUAAAAGUAAUCAACCGCCACGGAGUAUACUCCAGGCGGGACGAAAAAUAAAGAAAGCAGUAAAGACGAUCAACCGCCACGAAGUAAACUCCAGGUGAGAUUAAAUGUAUAUAUAUAUAUAUAUACAAACUGAAAUGAAACCACGGACCGAAGUUCGGGCAAACACACGCAACACGACUCUUAACGUGAAUAAUAGUGUGUGCAAAGAUAAAGAGAAAGGCUUUAAAGUGUGUGAGAAGGCUUACAGUGGGAUGCCAAAGAAGACUUCUAUAUCAUUAAAGGGAUGAACACUCGGCUCCCGCCGGUACAAAAUAGAAGCUAUAUGUGAGCUCACAAGUGUUUAAAAUGAGAAAGCACUCAAUGUAGGGUGUGUACAGAGCAAAUUGGACAGGGCUUCCUCGCCUUUUUCUCUUACAAAAUGGUCACCCCAAGCCCUCUAUUUAUAGAGGGGGGAGCCGCAGGGGUGCUUGCGGCUAGGCCGCAGAUGUACCUGCGGCUGCCCGAGUUCCCCCGGGCUUCGCGGGUCACGCCGUCUCAAAGUACGUGCACGCAUGCACUGUAAUAUCUGCUCGAACUUUCAGAAUUGCAAUCCGGGCAUCCGACUGACGUAAGUAAGACCUAUUUAGGACCUCCGUUGUCGAGAGUUACGCAAUGACAUGGGAUUAGAGGUUGUACGAAGUCAGGAAGAUGGGACCAUGCCCUCCGGUCUUCAAGCUUCAAAUUAUAUAUGUUUUCCUGCAUAAUAGUCACUCGGGAUUUGACUUCCUUGGUUCUUGUGGGACAUUGCUGUGUAGAAAUGUAUGUAUGAAAUGUUGAGACGGUGCGAUGUGACGUCAAGGUGGCAAGAUGACGACUUUUUCCCUUACCGGGGUUAUCUCCGGUUUGGGCUGAUAAAGCAGACGUUGCUCAGUGUUAUCUCUGAGAUUGGACUGCUGCAAGUGUUGAAGGUCCUUAGUGUCAUAUCUGAGGUGUGCCUAUCUUCCUGGUGUUAUCUCUAGAACUGCACUCCUUGGGGUUAUCUCCAAGGUUGGUAACUACUACUCCCAGUGUUGGGACUGAGACUGAAUAUCUCGGGGUUAUCUCCGAGACGAAUCAGCCUUCUCCAGUGGAAUUUCUGAUAUUGGAACUGCAUGCCUCAGGGUUAUCACAACAUCACACCAAACAACAAUAAAAUCUAAUAUAAUAAAUCACAAAUCAAAACACAGCUAAAACCAAAACUUCAACCAAUUAAAUCUCAAAAGUAAAAAAACAAUCAAAUCUAACCUAUUGAGAUACACCCAUUUGUGGUAUCACCAAAUUCGUGAUACACAACAACCAAAAUAAUUAUACAAAUUUCAGAAUCAUAUGAUUUUAAGAAAUAUAACAACAAUCAACAAACUCACACCAAGUUCACUUACAAAAUGAAACCCAUUAGGUCAUGGAGCAAGUCCAGUAACCUUUGUGAUUGCAGAUAUUAGUGAAGUUUUCCCAUGACCAAUAUGUCCAAUGGUACCAACAUUCACAUGAGGUUUUCUGGAUCAUAAAAAAAAAGAAUAAAUAAAUAAAUGAUACAUUAUAUAAGUGGUAAUGUCAUGGUCAUGCAAAGAACAUUAUAACUGCAGACUUCAGAAAGAUAACCGUACAUAAAGUAAUACAUACAAAUCUUACAUGAAAGUUGUGAAAAUUAUGAAAUAAAUAAAUUUUUUACUCUCAAAAAUAAGAAAAGUUGUAAUGAAUUUUAACAAUAUUAUAAUGUUGAAUCUAACAUAUCUAAUGCCAAUGAAUAAUUUCGACCCCCCUUCAUAAAUUUUUUGAAUGUUCCUUGCUCAUGGUCAAAAGUAGACAGAUCAGUACUUAUAUAUUUCAAUUAACACUUAUUCAUGAUAAAAAAAAUCAUUUAUUCAAAAUAGGUUUCACAGCAUUCAUUCAAACUGCCAACUAAAGUUGGGUUUCAUUAUCAAGCGUAAACAAAAAUAAAAAUAACCCAUUAACUUUUUUAAUUUGAAGUUCAUCCUCAUACCAGAAAACAUUGAACCAAGUAUCCUAUAAUUUCUCAACAACCAAAUAGUUGUAAUUGAAUAUAAGUGUUCAUUCCAACUUAACAUUUCAAACACUAAUUAAUUACUCCCUCCGUCCAAGGAUUAAAGUCUUUAUUACUAUUUCAGGUAGUCCCAAGUUAAAUGUCUACUUACCUUAAAUGAUCUAGUUUUUUACAAUAAUUUGCCUAUAAUACCCUUAUUAUUAAUUGUUAUAUUUCUAUUCUCUAUGAAAAUUUAUGGAGCAUCACUAGUAAUGUGCAGAAAACUAUGCAAUUAAAUGAGAAUUUAAAUACGGACAAUUUUGUCAUUUUAUCAUCUUUCUUAAUAUGCGUAAAAAGUCAACCAUGACUUUUUAUCCUGGGACGUAGGGAGUAUAAAAUAAAAAAAACACAAAAUCAAACACCUAGAAAACUAAAAAGAAAAUCGUAUAUAAAUAGUUAAAUUUGAUCGCAUGAAUAAACUCACUUAUGUUCUUGUGAAGGUGGCCAUGGACCGCCGGAAAAACCCUAUCCCUGCAUCCUUCAAUUUGAUUUGUAAUUCCAAUUUUCUAAAAAUUUAGAAAAAUAUUAAAGGAGACGGGGUUUUGGUGAUGGGAUUUGCCAUGAGAGAUGAGAAAUUACCGAAUCUAAGAUUAACCACCAAUUACAACCCUUUUUUAGGGUUUCCCAAUUUCUCAAAAAGCCAUGUACCGCUGGAAAAACCCUAUCUCUGCAUCCUUCAAUUUGAUCUAUAUUCAAUUUUCUAAAAAUUUAGAAAACUAUUAAAGGAGACGGGGUUUUGGUGAUGGGAGUUGCCAUGAGAGAGGAUAAAUUACCGAAUCUAAGAUUAACCACCAAUUACAACCCUUUUCUAGGGUUUCCCAAUUUCUCAAAAAUCUCAAAUUAUCGCACUUUUCUAACUUUUUCAAGUUAUCUUCCUGGAGUUACUUUUCCUUGAUUUUUACAAAUAUUGAGGGUUUUCAGAGGUGUGAAAUAGGGGUUUUAUAAUAUGAGAGGAAGGGAAGAGGCAGGGUGAAAAGAGAGGUGUGAAGAGGCGAUGAUUUAUAUGGGUGAAGCUAUCGAGGGAAAGCAGAUGAGUCAGUCAAUAAGAAGAGAAGGAGCCAAACGACUAUGAAGAAGAUGAGUUAGUUGACUAAAGGAUGGACUCGUGCAGCAGUAACCUCUGUUGGCAGUUCCUCUCAGACGAUCAAAUAUAUUUGGUAUAUUAAACCAAAAUUAUUUAUUUUGGUAUCAGCUUCAAAUCGACGACCAUCAGUUGUGCCAAGAAUUUGGACCAAAAUUCCAAGACUGACAUGCAUAAAUUGGACCAAAAUUGCUUCUCAAUAUUAAAUAUGAACCUCAUAAUAUAUUCUCAGUUUCAAAUUUUGGGCUUCUAAAAUUAAAUAAUAAUCUUGUUGUUUGCUUUCGAAGUUGGUGUUUCUGAAUUAUUUAAAUUACCAACAGAUGAAAUUCUCAAAUUUCAAAAAGAUAAUUACAUUUUUAAAUAAACUACAAUGCUAAUAGAAUCCAGAUUGCCUAUUAAUUUCAUACUCAGUUUGAUUCCAAGACCAAUUUGACCAAAGAAAAUUGGCAUGGUUGAAGGUGCAUUACCAUCAGUAUUAGGAUUAAAAUGUGGUCCUGUAAUAAUGUAAUUGAACAAAAAAUCACAACAUAACACCAAAUAUGACGCCCCCAAAUUCGGGUAUCUUCCAACCCGGCAUAUGGUGGUGCUACACGGUGCUACAGUUCACACAUACAUUCAAUUGAAAUGCCUCAAAAGAACAAAUAUGUGUUAUAUAUAUUCCAGAAUAAUAUUCCCUUCACAGGUUCUUUAUAACCAAUACAUAAGUUCUUUGUCAUAAUAUCAAAUACAUUACAACAUUAAACCUAUACUAUUACAUAGACAGUUCACCGGUCUGCCUUAGCCUUUCCCUUAUCUUUACCGGAUCGUUUGGUCCGUUUAGUCUUAGCUGCAUUCAUAUGGUUCAAGCAAGAGUUAGCAUAACUAGCUCAGCAAGUACAACAAUUAUAAAUAAAUAGCAUGUUGAAACAUAGGAAUCUAUAACUUGAAUAACUGAACAAUAGUUACGAAGUACUAUUGAUAAUUCAAAAUAGCACUUCUCUUUUCCUUCAAAAUGUUUUACAAUGACAAUAUUCAGUAAAACAUCAAUUCCGGUCUAAGACCAUGAGCAUUUCAUACUUUCUUUGAAAAGGAUGACCUGACACUAAGUCCAUAAGUCCGACAUAUCUUACGAGCAGGUCUAGGUGAUCAGCCUAUAGUACUCUAUGUUGAUCAACAAUACAUUCUUUAAAUGUAUUUACGUUUAAGUUGUGGCAACCUCACGUGCCUGUCGUUUGAUGACAAAACAUUUUAGCAUACUCAGUCUUCAUUUGAAAACCAUACCAACAUAGUUUGGUAAAAAAUUGACAGUACUUUGAUAGAUUAUAGGAAAUCCAACUUAUCGUAAGUUUAGCUGAAAGAAUUGGCUUUGAAUUUAUCAUACAUCAAUUCAUGAGUAAGAAUACAUGAAUCACAAAGCUUUUCUAGAUUGAACUAAAACAAGGGUAAGAACACUUACCUUUAGCGUCUGCUACUGUUAUUACACGUUCACUUUAAGUCUUUAAGGUCUCUACAAUAUAUGAUCACAUAACAUAACACAUUAGGUCAUGAAUAAACAUAUAUGGUUCCUAAUGAAUCUUAUCCAUCUUCUCAAUCUAAUCUUAUAUUAGAUUUUUUACUAUUGGUUCCGGCUUUUCGUUACGCUUUACAUCGUCAUUACGUUCACGUUCAAUUGAUUACUUUCAACCUUUAGUUAUCACACUUAAGGUUUAACAAUGUUUUUAAAAAUGUUACUUUAAGUUUUAUUACUGUGUUAGUUCAUUAUCUCAUUAACCAACUUUUCCUUUUUAUGCUUACAAGCCUUCAUUACUAUGCUUGGUUUAGUGUUGGCGUUGCGGCGCCAGCUUCCCUUCUUCAACUCGCGCUGCGGCGCGGGUUUGCAGUGCACAAGCCCCGACCUCGGCGCUGCGGCACUAAUCUUUCUUCAAUGUGCCGCAUUGCGGCGCCAACUAACAGUGUACUAUGGUUUGGCCUCGCACUGCGGCGCUGACCUUUCUUCUUUGAGUCACGCUGCGGCGCAGACUUUGUGCCUCAGAAAAAUUUGACAAAUUUUUUACUUAGUGAACUUCCAGGACUCCAAAUUUGAUCAUUUUAAGUCCGAAUUGGCUUGUUCAAAAACCGUUAGCUCACAAUUCAAAUACUUUACGUGUUCAUGCAGAAAUUUUACAAUUUUGACUUCGUUAACUCGAAAUUACCCUAUGAGUUCAUUUUUCACGAAAACGAUAAACAUUCGUGAACGUUCAACGCUCGUUUCUUCGUUCUAAGUUGGAAUUCGAUCAUUUUCGAGUCCACAACUCUAUAAUGCCAAAUAAGACUUGUUCCCAUUGAAAACCAAUGUUUUCGAGCUUAAUAUCAAAAUUCUACUUCCAUUCCGAGAAUUUCACGAAUUCGACGAUUAUCGUCCAAUCGUGUGAAUUCCGACAUAACCUCAUUACUUAUGAUUUGUUCAUUGUUUCAAAUGGAUUCGAUCCAUCAUAUUGACAUCUUAACCUCCUCAUUACAUUAACUUAUUUUCAUGAUAAGUUAUUACUUAUUCUUCACGAGCUUAUAACUUAUCAAAGUAUAAACUACAUAUAAUUUCAUUUCUCAUGACUGAUGAUAACCUAUGUCUUCUAACCAUCAUUCUUACAUACUUUUAUCAUACUAACUUCAUUUAUGUAAACAUGUUACAAGUAUUACAAUUUCUUCUUUAGUUCAUAACUUAUCUAUGAACAAAGUGCUUAUUCACGGCUUAUUAAGACUUAAGUCUUUAGAUUAUUCAUUCUUAUGAUUUCUUAGCAUACAUGUCCAUUAAUCCACAUUUCUCUUAUCAACCUAUAAUGGUAGAGAUGGAAGACUAAUAACAUAGGAGGCUUACCCUUGAUGAACAAGCUUUCUUCUUCUUUUCUAACAAAUGAUAGACUAGAUUAUUCUUGAUUAUUCUCUCUAACAAUUAAGUUAAAAGUGUUGGAUGAAAAUUAACAAACAACAAAUUAAAUCCUAAGCUUGCUAUUUAUAGGAUUUCCUAAGUUAGGGUAAUUUGGUCAUGAGGUCAUCCCACCUCCUUAAGCACCUCCUUACUAUUCAUUACUUCUUAAUUAAGUUAACUUGCUAGCCACCUACUUUACUUGGCCAUUACAUUAUUUACUUGGUCACCACGUUAUUUUCUUGAUCACCAAGAUUAACCAUAUGACCAUGGGUUGCCCCAUGGGUCACCCUAAUCCAUUGGAUCAAUAAUUUGGGCUUAGGUUUAAUUUAUUUAACUAAAGCUUUUGGGCUUGCAUUAAUUUACUUUGGACUUUACAUUUAUAACCACUUGGGAUUUUAUUAACAAAUCUUUGGGCUUUCAUAUUAAUUCUUAUUGGACUUGCACAUCCUACAUAAUCCAACAAGUCCAUUUCAUUUGGCUUAAAGCUUUAGAACAUAUACUAUACGUAUUAUUCUCGUAUUUUAACUCGUAUACUAAUUCAUAAUAUAUGAUAUACCAUCAUUCAUAUAUACUCGUAUAAUACUUUAUAUCAUACUCGUAUUCAUUACCUCGUACAAUACAUACGUAUCAUACGAUCAUCACAUUAGCUUCUAACGCUUUAUUUUCCCUAACUUUCACAAAUUAAGUCCGCAUGCGAAAAAUUACGUUUCCAUACUUGAAUUAUUAUUACAUAAUCCAUCUCACCUCAAUAUUCUAUCAUUACGUAUUUCUCGGAAGUUCAAAAAUAAUUCCCGAGUAGAAAUCGAUGAAUAGUGUUUUUUGAAAAAUUUCUCGGAAAGCUUUUAUUUUCGUCUUGAAAAUUCAAACACUUUAAUUCCUUCACAUAGUUAAAAUACUACGACCUUCCGAUGUUUCUAGGUUAUAGAACGACAUUCAUCUUACUAACACAUAAUAAUAAUAAAUAAUAUAAUUUUAUUCCUUAUAUAAUUAAAUAAAAUUAUUUUACAAAAGAUUCGAAUUUCUCGGUCAUUACAUUCUCCCCCCCUUAUAAAGAUUUUGUCCCCAGAAUCUCGUCUUUCAUUAAAUAAACAACUGAGGGUAAGUCUUCCUUAUCUUUUCUUCCAAUUCCUACGUUGCUUCUUCUGCAUCGUGGUUCUUCCAUAACACCUUCACGGAAGGUAUAACUUUGUUUCGCAGAACUUGCUCUUUUCUAUCGAUGAUUUGAAUCGGCAUUUCUUCAUACGUUAAGUCCUUCUCGAUAUGAAUAGGCUCAUACACUAUUACGUGCUUAUAAUCUGGCUUAUAAGGACGUAACACCGAUACGUGAAACACGUUAUGUAUUCGUUCUAGGCCUGGAGGUAACGCUACCAUAUAAGCUACCUCACCUACCUAUUUUAACACUUCAAAAGGUCCUAUAAACCUUGGACUUAACUUCCCCUUCUUUCCAAAAUGUAUAUUUCCUUUCUAGGGAGAUACCUUUUGAAAUACAUACGAGCCUACCUCAAACUCCCUAUUUUCUCGAUGCGAGUCUGCAUACUUCUUCUGUCUGUCUUGAUCUGCUACGAGACGCAUCCGUAUCAACUUCACUACAUCCACUGUUUGUUGUACUAAUUCUGGUCCAAGCAUUCGGCGUUCCCCCACUUCUUCCCAACAUAGUGGUGUUCUGCACUUCCUUCCAUAUAAGGCUUCGUAAGGCGGCAUACCUAUGCUUGCUUGAUAACUGUUAUUAUAUGCAAACUCUACUAAUGGUAGAUGAUCAUCCCAACUACCCUUAAAAUCCAUGACGCAAGAUCUCAACAUAUCUUCUAACGUCUGAAUUGUUCUCUCGCUCUGUCCAUCAGUUUAUGGAUGAUAAGCCGUACUCAACUUCAACUGCGUUCCCAACUGCUCUUGCAGACUUCUCCAAAAGUUUGAUGUGAAUCAUGGGUCAUGAUCUGACACAAUCAAAAUUGGUACUCCAUGUCUGGAAAUAACUUCUUUAACAUAAAGUUUAGCUAACUAGUAUAAGUUAUACUUAACCCUAAUUGGCAAAAAGUGAGCCGAAUUCGUCAAUCGGUCCACUAUUACCCAAAUCGCAUCAUACCCUUUCUGAGUAAUCGGAAGUCCCACCACAAAGUCCAUCGUGAUUUGCUCCCACUUCCACUCUGGAAUUUCCAAUGACUGUAACAAGCCACUUGGUCUUUGAUGUUCGGCCUUAACUUUCUGACAAGUCAAGCACCUACUCACAUACUCGGCUAUUUCUCUCUUCAUGUUCGGCCACCAAAAACUAUGUCGAAGGUCUUGAUACAUCUUAGUGCUACCAGGAUGAAUCGAGUACCUCGAACUAUGAGCCUCUUAUAAUACUUGCUCCUUUAAUUUUGUCUCAUUCGGAGCCCAAAUUCUUACUUUAAAUCUAAAUAACCCCUUGUUAUCAAGACUAUACUUUAUAUCAUUUUCAUUGGUUAACCACUUCUUUAUCUGGUCACACUCAUCAGUUUUGAGCUGCACCUCCUUGACUCUCUCUACAAUGGUAGAUUGAAUCUCAGUCGCAAACAGUCUAUGUCCCGAUUCACUCAGUAACUUCACCUCUAUGUCCAUCCUAGCCAUCUCUGUUAUUAACUCAAUUUUAGCCGUUAACAUAGACAACUUCUCUCGACCCUUUCUACUUAAGGCAUCGGCAACUACAUUGGCUUUUCCAGGGUGAUACAGGAUUUCACAGUCGUAAUCCUUUAUCAACUCCAACCAUCUCCUCUACCUGAUAUUCAACUCCUUCUGUGUGAAGAUAAAUUUUAGACUCUUAUGGUCUGUGUAUAUCUCACGUUUUUCUCUGUAAAGAUAAUGUCUCCAUAUCUUUAAGGCAAAAACUACCGUAGCUAGUUCCAGAUCAUGAGUAGGGUAAACGUUUUCAUAAUCCUUCAACUGCCGUAAUGCAUACGCAAUGACCUUGCCAUACUGCAUGAGCACGCAACCAAGUCCUCUAUGCAAAACAUCGCUAUAAACUACAAAAUUUCCUGUGUCGUAUGGUAAUGAAAAAACAGGCGCUUCACUUCUUCUUCAUUUCUUGAAAACUGUUCUAGCAUUUCUCUGUCCACGCUUAUUUCACCAUAUUUCUUGUCAAGUUAGUCAACAGAAUAGCUAUCUUUGAAAAAUCCUGGAUGAAUCUCUGAUAGUAUCCCGCUAACCCUAGGAAACUCCGCACCUCAAUCAGCAUUUUCGGUUGUUCCCAAUUCAUCAUGGCUUCCACCUUUGCUGGAUCUACUGAAAUUCGUUCAUGGUCAAUGACAUGACCUAAAAACUGUACCUUUUCUAGCCAAAAUUAACACUUAGUGAACUUAGAAUACAACUUCUCCUUCCUUAGUGUCUCCAACACUAUUCUUAGGUGUUCAACAUGAUCUUCUGGCGUCUUAGAAUAGACAAGAAUAUCAUCGAUAAACACCACGACAAACUUGUCCAAAUAUUAUUUGAACACACUGUUCAUCAUAUCCAUAAAUGUAGUUGGUGCAUUAGUCAACCCAAAUGACAUCACCAGAAACUCGUAAUGACCAUAACGAGUCUUGAAUGCCGUCUUUCGUACAUCCUCCUUCUUAACCUUCAACUGAUGAUACCCCAUCCGUAAAUCAAUUUUUGAAAAAUACUUUGCCCCUUUCAACUGAUCAAAAAGAUCAUCGAUCCUGGGAAAUGGGUAUUUAUUAUUUAUCGUUAACUUGUUUAACUCAUGAUAUUCGAUACAAAGUCUUAAUGAUCCGUCCUUCUUCUUGACAAACAAUAUCGGUACUUCUCAUGGCGAAACACUCGGUUGAAUGUACUUUCUGUCCAAUAGUUCGUGUAACUGUACCAUUAAUUCCUUCAUCUCCACUGGCACCUUUGGAAACGGGUGCCGCUCUUGGCACAAUAUCUAUUACGAACUCGGUCUCCCUAUCCAGUGGAAGACCCGAGAAUUCACUUGGAAAUACAUCCGUGAAUUCUUUAACUACAAGUAUUUGUUCCAUGGUCGCUCCCACUCUUUGGGUAUCAACAACGUGGCACUAAUAACCUACACACCCCUUCCUCAAUAGUUUUCUAGUUUGUGAUAUCGUAAGACAACACGAACGCCCUGGCUAUCUAUUACCAUAAAAUAUUACAUGAGGUUGUCUCAACGUUCUAAUAUUCACACAUUGACAAUCUAUAAUUUCCCCAUGGUUAAACAACCAAUCCAUUCCGAGAAUUACAUCCAAUUCUCCUAACUUUAUCGGUAUCAAAUCCACCGAUAAUUUACAACCCUGUAUGUCUACGCAACAACUCCUAUGAAUAUCUUCAACAUGAAUUAUCUCUUCGUUUGUUAUUUUAAUAUUUAAAGGUAUAGGCAACUUUUCGGGAAAUAAUCAUAAUCGUCUAGUAAAAUCAUAUGCUAUAAACGAACAAGUAGCACCCGAAUCAAACAGCACAUAAGCAUUUAUGUCGUUGAUCGGAAUAAUACCUACAACUACGUCCCAUGAUGCCAUCGCAUCUUGGACCAUCAUGUUAAAGGUGCGGGCCAUCGACAUACCCGGCUGCGCUGGACCACCAAUAACUAACUUACCGCUAUUAGCGCCCUUAUUCCCUUUCGCCCCCUUCUUCGGGCAUGUUCUUUGCUAUGUGUUUAGUUGAACCACAUAAAAAGCAUCCGUGAUUCUUCUUCGGACUUGGACAGUUAGGCGAAAUGUGCCCCUCCUAUCCACAGUUGUAGCAUACAGCCUUCCCCUUGAGAUGGACUCCUAAAUGAGUCUUCCCAUAGGUUUUAAAGGCCUCCAUCCUCCUCUUCGGAUCUCAUUGCUUCACUCUGGUAUUCUGUUGGGUAAAAUCGAUACACACAAAACACGCAAGUGUGCGUGGUCAACAAGUAAUAUAGUAGUGAAUAAAGUAUCAUUCCCACAAAGACAAAAAAUAGCAAAAAUUUUAAAUUCACAAUUAUCAAUUUUCUAUUAAUCCUAAUUCUAUUAAACUAUUCAAAUCAAUGGUUUAAAAUUAUAGAAACUAAAUUAAUAAAUAAAUAAACUAUCACAAAACAAUCACUAAUAUCAAAGUCCGAAAUUUCAAACAAUUAAUGGAGAAUUAGACUUAUGAUUUCACCCUGAGCUUCACUAUGAUUUUCAAACCUUUAUUCCAACUCAAUUUAAUAUCCAAGUUUAUUAAUCAAGAACACGAAUGUAAUACUAGCCACCUCUCGAUGCACUAAUACCAUAUUAACUUAAAUCCACAAUUAAGAUAGAAACAAGUUAAACACCUAAAUCAACCAACUCACUAUAUCUCUAUGUGAACUACAAUUAAAGAAGGUUUAAGCUUAAGUUCUCUAUCCGAUUACAUGUGAUGUCAAGCAUAUCUCUACCUUAACAAUAAUCAAAAAAAUUAGCUAUUCACAAAAUUCAUGACACAUGCUACAUUAACUAGGUUUAGAUUUGAAUUCCUCUCUCGAUUCCAUUCAAAUCCAUGAGGAAUUGUUGAUCAAGCAAUUCAUAAGUUCACGCUCGAAUUAACAUAUAUAAACUGAAAAUAUUUUAUUGAAUUGGAAAUCAAAGUUAUAGAAUCAUUGUUUCACCCAAGGCUCCAUCACAAGUUUAAUAAGCGAAUUAGUUCAUAACGAAUGAAUUAAAAACUAAAUAAUCUAAUGAAACCAUCCUUUCAAUUAUAAAUAAAAAACUAAAGAGAAGAAGAAUAAUGAACACCCUUUACGUAGCCUAGAUUUGUAACCGUCACGGUAAUCUCUUCAAAUUACUCCUCCAAAGCACGCACUUGAAUCCUGGAAUUUUUCUCCGAAUUAUGCUUGUUGUGUUGAGUGAUUUAUUAUUUUUCACGUAAAAUUAAGCUCUCCCCAUGUCCUGCUCGAAGUCUACCAUUUAAAGAGUCCAGACGCCUAACAAAACAACAACAAUCCAUGUUGCAGCAGUCUUCAAAAGCCAGCAGGAGUCUCAGGUUUCGGCACCCCUGCCCCGGCGGGGGGUACAAGCCUAAUAAGGCCCGCCCCGGCGGGCAUGCCCACUGCUAAAGGAAUUUUGCGACUUCAUGCGUUUUUCCACUUUCGCUCCAAAAGUCCGUCUUUCUUCACCACUUGCCUCCAUGACCACCCUACACAUAAAAUAACAUGAAACGAGUGAAAAUGAACACAAAACAAGAAGAUAACUACGAAUUUAAACUUGAAAUGAACAUCAAUUCGUGUAUAUUAAAUCCACUUAUCAUAUUCCCAGAGUUAAACCCUUUCCAUUUUUAUCCUUCGCCACUCCGUCUAGCUCCUUCUAUCUUCACUCCCCCUUUAAGUUUUCCCUUACUCUGGAACACAGAUAUCUGGUUAUAGAGCCAGGGUUUCAAGCCUUACUCGAACCAUCGAGCUUUUCUAACCUCGGUGUCCACUUGGUGUGGAGCAAACCUUGCCUGUUCAUUAAACUUGGCAGCGUAAUGGGGAACCAUCAUUUCCCCUUGUUUCAAAUCAAGAAACCGCAUUUCCAUACUCCCCUGCAUACUCGUGGGAAAGUAGUUCUCGAAGAAAAUCUCCUUGAACCGUACCCACGUUAUAUUCUCGGUACCAGCCUUAGCUUGAUUAGCCUUCCACCAAAAGUUGGCCUCUUCCUUCAUCAUGUAGGUUGCAAAAGCAACCUUCUGACCCUCAUCGACAUUUGCUAUGACAAAUGCCUUCUCGAUUUCUUUUACCCACGUUUGAGCUUGUAUAGGGUCCGUAGGUCCUUUGAACUCCGGUGAAUCGACACUCUUAAAAUCUUUAAAAGUAGUAGCUCAUACUACUCCAGGAUUUACGGGAAUAUUUGCCCCAUUUCUAUUAAACGCUGCUAUUAAUAAGUUAACAAAUUCCUGCAUUAGGUUUACCGGACCUCCCUCCGAUUGAUUUUCAUUAGCUUCUUGAUUACGUUGUUUCCUUCUUGGCGGCAUUUUGCUGUUACAAUAAACAACAUAUUUCGUUAUUAUUCGCUUCCUGUUAGUUAAUUAUUAUUCAAGAUUAAAUAAUAACUUUAACAUUCAUUACUCAAUAUGUUCCGAAAAAGGCUUAUAUUGAUUCAUUCAUUGUAGUAUAAUACUACAUUGUUUACAUUACACAACCUAAACUGCUUACAUUAUUAUCCCGCAAUUGGUUUUCCAAAAAUUGGGAUUUACAAAAGACUACCCUUUGAUAUACAAAUAUGGGUUUUACGUCACUAAUAUAUACACAAUAUUUACAUAUCUAAAACUACUCUAGUCACUACUAGAUUACAUCUGUCGUAAGGCAUUAUCAAAAUCUGCGGUGGCAAGAUCGGCGAUAACAUCAUGACUGAUAGUAUGCCGAGUCUGCCCAACCUCUAUUGGAUCCCUAGCUACCUGCUGUUGGAAAUCCUUCUGAGAACUCCUAUAUAUAUCGGACAUCCUCCCUAUCUUCUGUUUCUUUGUCUUUAGCUCCUGUUUGAGCUCAAAGACCUCUUGUUUUAGCUCAUGGACCUUGUCAUUGGCUAAAAGUCUCUCAUCAUGUUCCUGUGCCCACAUCGACUCCACAUCUGUCUUAUCCUCCACGACAGUAUGGAGUUCCUCUUUCAACUCCUUUACCUCCUUACAAUACUGGAUAUUACUAACCAAUACUGCCAUGAACAGUGCUCCCAUUAACUCCCCCGGAGUUAUCUCUUCCUCAGGUUCUGUAACAUUCUAGAAUUUUAGAAUUUUAAAUGUAAUUUAUAAAUAUUUAUUGAUUUAUAUAAAUAUUUAUUAGAUGUGUUAUUGAUGAAUACAUAUUUGUAUUUGUCUAAUUUGAUUUAAGUUGGUUAAUUAUUUGUUAAAUAAUUAAUUAAUAAGUUAAGGAAAUUAUUAUUAUAGUGAUAUUUCAAUUUGAUGGUUAAUUAGUGGUAUUGAGUUAUGUGAUUAAAUGAUUUAAUUAAUAAAUUGUUAUUUGAAUUAAUUAAUUAAGUAUGAAAACUUAAUUAAAAGAAGUGUGACAAAUAACUAUAUUAUAAUGAGUUAUUAAAAUAAAUUAAAGUAGUUUCAAUUUAUUUUGCCAAACAAGGCUUAAAUAUAUUAAGUCUCUAAGUUUUAAAUUAUUUGCCAAACAAAGCCCUAUGGCUUUUGGUUUUUAAAUUUUGAAUUUUAAUAAAUAAAAUAUAAAUAAUAUAUAUAUUAAUUUGGUAACUGAUAAAUUGAAUAGGGAUAUUGAGUAGGCGUCGGUUUUGUUUUAAACGGGCGUGCAUUGGUUUUAUUUUGUUUUUACGUAAAGAGUAUUUGGGUUUUGGCUCAAGAGAAAAGAAAAGGAAGAUUGCAGAAAUUGAGAGAGAAUAGAGUAAAUUGAGAGGAAAAGGUCUCUGAAGUUGCAAGGUUGUCUGUGACUAGCAAGGGUUAACCAAUAAAAAAAGGUAUUAUUCAAAACCUUUAUACCAUAUAUAUGUACGUAUAUAUGUUUAUAUGGCGUAAUUUCUAAAGUUUCUGUGAUCUUAAGUUUCACUAUAGUAUAAAGUUAUUUACAAAAAUUAUAUGUAAACCAUGCUUUACUAGUUGACUAUGAAAUUAUGGGUAUAAGUAAUGUUAUAAUUAUAUGUUGUAGGCUAAAUUAACGUUUUCAAGAAAGAAAUAGUUUUUACAGUGAACAUAUACUUAUGAACGUGAGUUGUGGAAUAUCAAAGGUUCUAUAUACGAUUUAUGCUAGUUAUGAAAUUGAAAGUCAUCUAUGUUAAUUGGGUAUGAGUUUCAGAAAAAUCAUAGGUUAAAGGAAUCAAAUUGGUUAUAACCAUGGAAAUACAGGUUACUGUAUUUUAUAUAUCGAUAAUGGAGUUUUGGUUUUUAAAACAGUGCAUAUAAUAAUUUAAGUUUUCUAAAAUUAUUGUUUAGUGGUUUAAACUAGUAUAUGCAUGUUGGGUAGUGUGUAUAUGUGUAAUUUAUAUAAGUUAGCAUGUUAAUUUAGAGGUUAGCAGUGUUAAAUAGACAGAAAUUAGUUGUUCUGUUCUCCGAUGGUUGGGUUCUGCAAGUUUCGGCGCCCCAGCGCCGAAAUUCGCGCCCUAGCGCCAGAAUUUCGCGCUCCAGCGCUGAAAUUCACGCCCCAGCGCCAAAUUUCGUGCCCCGACGCUACUGGUUAGCCUAGUUCUCGCGCCGCGGCGCCGGAACAGAAGUCUGGGUCGGACAGUUUUGACCUCCUGUAGUAAAAUGGCCAUAACUUUCUCAUACGAACUCCGAUUAAGGUUAUUCAAGAUGAUCCAAAAUGCGGACGAAUAGACCUACAACUUUCAUGCUUUAAGUUUUUUAAUUUGAGGUCUGUAACAGUAGUCAAAAUAGUCAUCUUUAGGACUGUUGUGUUUUCACGGGCAAUCGGAGGGCGUCGGGCAUGCACAUAUGCAUGUGUAGUGCUCCUGACGAUAAAAGAUGUUAUUCUAAGUUAUAAAACUUGAAUAUUAGUAAAUAUAAUGAUGUAUUAAAUAAGUUAUUUAAGCAUAGUAAGCAUACACAAGAGAGACAAAUCGAGCGUGUGACGAAUGAACGUCGAAACGCCGUGCCAAGUGUUAAUGAACUUAAAAAGUGUUUCAAUUCAAUUGAAAUGAAUAUUAUAAGAUAUGGAAUGGAUUUAAUAUAAAACCAAUAAGUAGUCCUAGCAAGACUUAAGCACUUGAAUGAACUUCGAGUUUGACUAAGAAGAAAUAUAGUGAGUCAUAAGUCGAAAAGUUAACACAAUCUAAUUGAACAUUGUGUGCUAAUUAAUAGGAAAGAUUAUGAGAUGUGGAGUAGAGUUUAUAUUACAAUUACUAUGUGUUGUUAUGUGACUAAUAGUUGAUGUGUAUGAUUAUAUAAUUGUGUAGGGCACGUGAAGUGCAGAUAACUAUAAGCUGUUAAUCUAUUAUUGGUAAACAACGAUCAAGGCAGGUCUUUCGGUUCCUAUUUGUUACGUGGACUUGAUGAACUGUUUUAAAUUGCAUGAUAUGUUAUACAUGUUGAAAUNNNNNNNNNNNNNNNNNNNNNNNNNNNNNNNNNNNNNNNNNNNNNNNNNNNNNNNNNNNNNNNNNNNNNNNNNNNNNNNNNNNNNNNNNNNNNNNNNNNNNNNNNNNNNNNNNNNNNNNNNNNNNNNNNNNNNNNNNNNNNNNNNNNNNNNGAUAUUUAGUUAUGAUGUAAGACUUUGUAUAGUCAUUUUGUUGUAACGAUUCAUGAUAUAAGAUUGAAUCAAAGAGAUGUAAUGUAAAGGUUGCGAUUCAGGGCAAGAAAGAAGGAAAUGUAUAAACGUUUUAAAUAUUCCACAAAUUUAGUGUUUUUAAUAUCGAAUAAUGAUGUAAAAUUAGAGAUUUAAUGUAUGGUUAACGACCGAAGUUGAGAUUUAAAUGGUAUAAAUUUUGGGGUCGUUACAGGUUCUAUGGGGUUAAAAGACACCACCUCCACCUCCUCUUUAGACAUGCCAUCGAACAUGGCCAUAAGGUCUAGGCUCUCUGAGUCUCCAGACUCAACUAUCACCACUUCAGGCUCUGCUGCUAUAGGAUUCGGUAUGAUUUCUACUUGAUUCAGCGACCCUUCACUGACUAUAUGUAUAUCCCUAUACAUUUCAUUUCCUCCUAACAUCUACAACAAAACAAAUAGUUUGAUUAGUACACGUCAGUAGAAUAAUAAAAACAUAUAACAUAUAUACUACAUUUUUAUAGGGUUAAUUUCCAUCUUUUAUUUCUUUAACUUUUCUUAAGGUUAUGACUUAAGGUUCUAAUCCCCCCCUUAAGUUUUAUAACCUAAUGCUUUGAUACCAACCUGUGACGACCCCAAAUCCGGGUAUCUUCCAACCCGGCAUAUGGUGCUACACGGUGCUACAGUUCACAUAUACAUUUAAUUGAAAUACCUCAAAAGAACGAAUAUGUCUUAUAUAUAUUCCAGAAUAAUAUUCCCUUCCCAGGUUCUUUAUAACCAAUACAUAAAUUAUUUGUCAUAAUAUCAAAUACAUUACAACAUUAAACCUAUACUAUUACAUAGACAGUUCAAUAGUCUGCCUUAGCCUUUUCCUUAACUUUACCGGAUCCUUCGGUCCGUUCGAUCUUAGCUGCAUUCAUAUGGUUCAAGCAAAAGUGAGCAAAACUAGCUCAGCAAGUACAACAAUUACAACUAAAUAGCAUGCUUAAAACAUAGGAAUCAUAUAUCUUCAAUAUCUGAAUAAUAGUUACGAAUACUAUUGAUAAUUCAAAAUAACACUUCUUUUUUCCUUCAAAACGUUUUACAAUGACAAUAUUCAGUAAAACAUCAAUUCCGGUCUAAGACCAUGAGCAUUUCAUACUUUAUUUGAAAAGGACAACCCGACACUAAGUUCGUAAGUCCGACAUAUCUUACAAACACGUCUAGGUGAUCAGCUUAUAGUACUCUAUGUUGAUCAACACUACAUUCUUUAAACAUAUAUACGUUUAAGUUGUGGCAACCUCACGUGCCUGCCGUUUGACGAUAAAACAUUUUAGCAUACAGAGUCUUCAUUUGAAAACCAUACCAACAUAGUUUGGUAAAACAUUGACAGUACUUUGAUAGAUUACAGGAAAUCCAACAUAUCGUAAGUCUGGCCGAAAGAAUUGGCUUUGACUUCAUCAUACAUCAAUUCAUGCGUAAGAAUACAUGAAUCACAAAGCUUGUCCAGAUUGAACUGAAACAAGGGUUAGAACACUUGCCUUCAGCGUCUGCUACUGUUAUUACACAUUCACUUUAAGUCUUUAAUGUCUCUACAAUAUAUGAUCAUAUAACAUAACACAUUAGGUCAUGAAUAAAAAUUCAUGGUUCCUAAUGAAUCUUACCUUCUUCUGAAUCUAAUCAUGUAUUAGAUUUGUUACUUUUGGUUCCGGCUUUUCAUUAUGCUUUACAUCAUCAUUACAUUCACGUUCAAUUGAUUACCUUCAACCUUUAGUUAUCACACUUAAUGUUUAACAAUGUUUUUAAAAAUGUUACUUUAAGUUUUAUUAAUGUGUUAGUUCAUUAUCUCAUUAACCAACUUUUCCUUUUUAUGCUUACAAGCCUUCAUUACUAUGCUUGGUUUAGUGUUGGCAUUGCGGCGCCAACUUCCCUUCUUUGACUCGCGUUACGGCACGGGUUUGCAGUGCACAAGCCCCGACCUCGGUGCUGCGGCGCCACUCUUUCUUCGUUGUGCCACGUUGCGACGCCAACUAACAGUGUACUAUGGUUCGGCCUCGCACUACGGCGCCGACCUUUCUUCUUUGAGUCACGUUGCGGCGCAGACUCUGUGCCUCAGAAAAAUUUGACAGAUUUUCUACUUAGUGAACUUCCCGGACUCCAAAUUUGAUCAUUUUAAGUCUGAAUUGGCUCGUUCAAAAGCUAUUAGCUCACAGUUCACAUACUCUAAGUGUUCAUGCAGAAAUUUUACAUUUUUGAUUUCAUUAACUUGAAAUUCACUUAUGAGUUCAUUUUUGACAAAAACGAUAAACAUCCGUGAACGUUCAACGCUCGUUUCUUUGUUCUAAGUCGGAAUUCGAUCAUUUUUGAGUCCGCAACUCUAUAAUGCCAAAUAAGACUUGUUCCCAUUGAAAACCAACAUUUCCGAGCUUAAUAUCAAAAUUCGACUUCCAUUUUGAGAAUUUCACGAAUUCGAAGAUUAUCGUCUAAUCGUGUGAAUUCCGGCAUAACCUCAUUACUUAUGAUUUGUUCAUUGUUUCAAAUGGAUUUGAUCCAUCAUAUUGACAUCUUAACCUACUCAUUUCAUUAACUUAUUUUCAUGAUAAGUUAUUACUUGUUCUUCAUGAGCUUAUAACUUAUCAAAUUAUAAACUACAUAUAAUUUCAUUUCUCAUGACUGAUGAUAGCCUAUGUCUUCUAACCAUCAUUCUUACAUACUUUUAUCAUACUAACUUCAUUCAUGUAAACAUGUUACAAGUCUUACAAGUUCUUCUUUAGUUCAUAACUUAUCUAUGAACAAAGUGCUUAUUCACGGCUUAUUAAGAAUUAAGUCUUUAGAUUAUUCAUUCUUAUGAUUUAUUAGCAUACAUGUCCAUUAAUCCACACUUCUCUUAUCAACCUAUAAUGGUAGAGAUGGAAGACUAAUAACAUAGGAGGCUUACCCUUGAUGAACAAGCUUUCUUCUUCUUUUCUAACAAAUGAUAGACUAGCUUAUUCUUGCUUAUUCUCUAUAACAAUUAAGUUAAAAGUGUUGGAUAAAAAUUAACAAACAACAAAUUAAAUCCUAAGCUUGCUAUUUAUAGGAUUUCCUAAGUUAGGGUAAUUUGGUCAUUAGGUCAUCCCACCUCCUUAAGCACCUCCUUACUAUUCAUUACUUCUUAAUUAAGUUAUCUUGCUAGCCACCUACUUUACUUGGCCAUUACAUUAUUUACUUGGUCACCACGUUAUUUUCUUGAUCACCAAGAUUAACCAUAUGACCAUGGGUUGCCCCAUGGGUCACCUUAACCCAUUGGAUCAAUAAUUUGGGCUUAGGUUUAAUUAACUUAACUAAAGUUUAUGGGCUUGCAUUAAUUUACUUUGGACUUUACAUUUAUAACCACUUUGACUUUUAUUAACAAAUCUUUGGGCUUUCAUAUUAAUUCUUAUUGGACUUGCACAUCCUACAUAAUCCAACAAGUCCAUUUCAUUUGGCUUAAAGCCUUAGAACGUAUACUAUACGUAUUAUUCUCGUAUUCUAACUCGUAAACUAAUUCAUAAUAUACGAUAUAACAUCAUUCAUACAUACUCGUAUAAUACUUCGUAUCAUACUCGUAUUCAUUACCUCAUACAAUACAUAUGUAUCAUACAAUCAUCACAUUAGCUUCUAACGCUUUAUUUUCCCUAACUUUCACAAAUUAAGUCCGCAUGCGAAAAAUUACAUUUUCCAUACUUGAAUUAUUAUUACAUAAUCCAUCUUACAUCGAUAUUCUAUCGUUACGUAUUUCUCGGAAGUUCAAAAAUAAUUCCCGAGCAGAAAUCGAUGAAUGGUGUUUUUUGGAAAAUUUCUCUGAAAGCUUUUAUUUUCGUCUUGGAAAUUCAAACACUUUAAUUCCUUCACGUAGUUAAAAUACUAUAACUUUUCGACGUUUCUAGGUUAUAGAACGACAUUCAUCUUACUAACACAUAAUAAUAACAAAUAAUAUAAUUUUAUUCUUUAUUUAAUUAAAUAAAAUUAUUUUACAAAAGAUCCGAAUUUCUCGGUCGUUACACCAAACAACAAUAAAAUCUAAUAUAAUAAAUCACCAAUCAAAACACAACUAAAACCAAAACUUCAACCAAUUAAAUCUCAAAAGUAAAAAAACAAUCAAAUCUAACCUAUUGAGAUACACCCAUUUGUUGUAUCACCAAAUUCGUGCUACACAACAACCAAAAUAAUAAUAAAAAUUUUAGAAUUAUAUGAUUUUAAGAAAUAUAACAACAAUCAACAAAUUCACACCAAGUUUACUUACAAAAUGAAACCCAUUAGGUCAAGGAGCAAGUCCAGUAACCUUUGUGAUUGCAGAUGUUAGUGAAGUUUUCCCAUGACCAACAUGUCCAAUGGUACCAACAUUCACAUGAGGCUUUUUGGAUCAGAAAAGAAAAAGAAUAAAUAAAAAAAAUGAUAUAUUAUAUAUGUGGUAAUGCCAUGGUCAUGCAGAGAACAUUAUAAAUGCAGACUUCAGAAAGACAGCCAUACAUAAAGUAAUACAUAAAGAUUUAUAUGUAUUAUAUUACGUGAAAGUUGUGAAAAUUAUGAAAUAAAUAAAUUUUUUACUCUCAAUAAUAAUAAAAGUUGUAAUGAAAUUUAACAAUGUUAUAAUGUUGAAUCUAACAUAUCUAAUGCCAAUGAAUAAUUUCGACCCCCCUUCAUAACUUUUCUGGAUGUUCCCUGAUCAUGGUCAAAAGUAGACAGAUCAGUACUGUGAUGCCCCUAAAUUUAGACCACACUCGUCUCAAGUAAUAUAGUAAUAAGGGUACUCAAUGUAGUUUUAUAUUUCUCAAGGUACAAUAAUAAGGAUAGUUCAAGAUAACAAGAAGUAUCAAUGAUUAUCAACAAUAGUCGCUAUGGACAGAAAAUAUCAAUAAUAUUCAAUGAUUAAUCAAUUUAAGAUUUCAAAGUAAUGAAUACUGAGCAGUCACUAAGGACUAAGAACUUUUCCUAGAAUUCACAAUAAUAAACUGAUAAUUCCAUAAAACGAGUACAACAGGUGAUCAGCCUAAAGUACCCUAUGUCAAUACAUUACAUUUAAUCUUUCUCAAGUGUGCACGUCGGUUUCUCGACAAUAUAUAAUUCCCCUACAAAGAGGGUUGUUCAUCUUAGUUAUAAGAGUUCGCACCAAGUAAAUUUGGUUUGGAUAGCUUUCGAUCAAUAUCAAUAGUCUAGCCGAAGCAAUGGCUUAGACAUUUUUCUUUCACAGUACAUAUAUGAAUAAUUAUCAUUCAAAAUCAAGGUUUGUAAACAAUUUCAUUUCUAGAUUACGAAGUAUUAAACUUUCAAAGUUCUACUUGUACGAUCAAUAAUAGUAUACGUUCAAGUAAUGCUCCAAAAGAGUAAGGUUCGAGUACUUGCAUUCCAUAUAUGAAUCAAAUAAAAUUCGAUAACUUGCACAAAUCUAAAUUUGUGUAAGUUAGGAAAAUUGCUCAAUGUAAAAGAGUUCGGAUACUUGCCUUAUGCGUAGUUUACCAAAGUAAAGCUUAACACCCUUCCAAAGAAUUAUAAUAUCCUAUUCAUGUAUAAUCACAUUAGUUAUACAAGUUCAAUAUGUAUACCUAUUAUCUUAAAUUGAUUCUGAUACACAAAUGAAAUUCAUUGAUACUAACAUAUAUUGCUAGUCUUCUCUUAGUCUUAUGAUCUCUUAUGCAUGUUACCACAUAGCAUGAGAAUCAGUUCUAAUACACUAUGACAUUUAAAGGGCAUAGUUUGAAAUCACAUUUUGACUUUAAAGUUGUAAACACUAAUUCAUUAUAGGAUCCUUUCAAUAACAUGCUUAUUAACACAUGAAUACUAUACUGGACAUGUAUUACAGAUUGGGGUAACAAUAUAAGCAUGCAUCAUUCCCCAAAUUAAUAACAGAAAAUUGAUCUCACUGCAGCGUGGUGCGACUGCGCUUGGUUUGUACUAAGGAGUGGCGCGGUCGCGCUGCUCCUGGUGCAAACCAAGACUGCUACACAUGUUAAGUCACCAAGCAUGCAUAGACAAUUUAUUUACUAUACUACAAGCUCUCAUAUAUACAUUUUGGACCAUAUAAGCAUGCUCACAAAUUCCUAUAUAGUUUAUCAAGAUUGUAAUUACAACUUUAAUUUUUCAUUAGUCAAACUUAUCCAAGCAUACAAGAUGAGUUCACAUAGUCUAAAUCAUGCUUUCAUAAUCACAUAAUAGAUCACAUAAGCAUAUCUUUAAGUUUAAAACUUAGUGUAUACAUAGUUCGUUUACACAUAGCCAAUAUAGUCUUUUCCUUAAAAUUUCCCUUUUUAAUCAUGCUUGAAUAUCUUAUAUUAACUUCAACAAUAUAACUAACAUAUUGUCACAUGUCAAGACAUAUCAGAACGCAAUACACUCGGAUCCAAAGUCAGAACAUGCUUUGCACAAUAUUUAUCAAAAUUAGUUUCCAACACUUUAAGUCUUCUUUGAAUAUUCAAACUAAAAUCAACUAACACGACUUACUAUACCCAUAGCAACCUCAUUUUACAUUUUAGGGUUAUUUAUAUGCAUAUUCUAGCCAAAGUAGCAUGAUCAUCAUCAUAUUGGACCAUUAAAGCAGUAUCUGAGAAAAACACCCCGCGCGACCGCACGGGAUUAGGCAAUAGAAGUGGCGUGGCCGCACCACUUCGUUUAGAAACAAAAUACAUGGCUCUAUUUUAGCAGAGCCUUAGCAUAUGCAUAGCCCAUUCUAAAUCCAGACCAACAACAAUACUUCACAGCAUACAUAUCAACUCAUAUUACACAUACAUGACCACUUAGAAUGAGACAAGAUCACAAGAUUACUACACAUGACUUGCAGUUGGCGCAGCCGCGCGAUCAUGUACUAUAGAAGUGGCGUGGCCGCGCCACUUCGAGCAGAAUGAAAAAUAAUGGCUAUGCAUUUGCAGAGCCUCAACAUAACCAAUGUCAAACCUAUACCCAGACCAUAUACAAUGCUCCUAAACAUGUAUAUAAGCUCAGAUAACACAAUGGCAUGCUAAUCCAUACCAAUUAACAGAGAAUUCAACAAUUACUAGAAUUUGACAAAACUUCAAAAUUAAGAACAUAAACAGAAAUUAUACCUCUUGAUGCUUAAUUUUGAACUCCCUACUUCUUUGAUUAAACUCCUUCAAUGCUCAAUAACUCACACUCUCUAAUGUACUUAUCAGACAAUUUUAAGUAACUGAGAAAUGAAGAAGGUGGCUUUAAUUUAUAGAGAAUGGAUUAUCCAGUUCAUGGCCUUGCACCAAGGUUUAAUUUAGUGGAAAACGGAAGAGAACAAUGGGUAGAAGGGAGUUGGCCAACUGCCAAUUCAUAGCCAUCAUCACCCUAGAUUUGUAGCAGCUUAGUUCACACAAGGAGGAUAUAGGCUACUAUUUGAGCACUGAUUUUGGGACAAGGUCUAAAUCCCAACAAAUAAGCUUUGGUUGGUUCCUUUAAUUCCCAAAAUGAAAUUUUAAUGUACAAUUGUUACUAUAUUAGGAAAAUUAGGGAUUAUUUAUGUACUCACAUCAUAUAAUCCAUGUACAUUAGUCUAGUCAAACUAAUAUUUAUAACAGGUAUGAACUCCAUUAAAUUGGUCACUUAACAAUUUAAUACCUCCUUAAAACUUUAUUAUUUCAAUUAAACUCACUUAUUGCAAUAAUUUGUAAUUCUUUGAUAGAGUACAUCUUUUAAUGUUUCCACACAUACUUACUGUCACAUAAGCAAUUAUUUAUGUCACUUACAAUUCUUUUCACUUUACUAUAUAGUUUCUAUACCUAAUAUAGUUACACUAAAGCAUCACACUACACUUUCUUUUUAAUGUAUGAACUAUAUGUUAACACAUAUCUUACACACAUCAAUUAAAUGAUAUAAUUCUAAUUAUGUAAUUAAUUUUCUCACAAUAAAAAAUUAAUUAAUAAUAUACUAUUAAUUAAUCCUUCACUUCUUAAUUAAAUUAAUUCCUUAAAUCUCCAUUCUCAUGCCACACAAGGCAUUUUCACAAUUCUCAUCACAAAUCCACAUUCUUAUAGAUUCAAUUUAUUUUAAUUGAAUUAUUCAUUUCACAACACAUCAAUAUUUAUUUUCAAAUAAAUAUUCCUUUUUCUCAUUAACUCAAAAUAAUAUUUAUUCAUGAAAUUCAUGGUUCUUACAUCCUCCCCCCCCCCCUUUAUAAAAAUUUUGUCCUCGGAAUUAGUACAAGGUUACAAGAAUAGAUAGGGAUAGUCCCUUCACAUCUUAUCUUCUAAUUUCCACGUGGCCUCUUCGGCGUCGUGGUUUCGCCAAAGUACUUUUACAAAGGAUAUGAUUUUAUUUCUUAACGUCUGUUCUUUCCUAUCUAGUAUCUGGACAGGAAUUUCUUCAUAUGCCAGAUUCUUCUCGACUUGAAUGGGCUUGUACAAAAUCACGUGUUUGUAGUCAGGCUUGUAUGGACGCAACACAUGGAUGUGAAACACGUUAUGGAUGUGCUCCAACUUAGGUAGUAAUGCAACUUUGUACGCCAUUUCGCCCACUCGCUUCAGUAUCUCGAAUGGUCCAAUGAAUCUCGAACUCAAUUUUCCCUUCUUGCCGGAUCAUAUUUUUCCCUUCCAAGGAGAUACUUUUAAGAAAACAUAACUUUCAACUUCAAAGUCGCGGUCCUAUCGAUGUAAGUCUGCGUAUUUCUUCUGGCGAUCUUGUGCAGCUACUGGUCUAGCUCUUAUCAAUGGCGCCACAUCUACGGUUUAUUGAACUAAUUCAGGUCCUAGCAUCUUUCGCUCCCCAACUUCAUCCCAACACAACGAUGUUCGACACUUUCUCCCGUAAAGAGCUUCAUACGGUGGCUUGCCUAUACUUGCAUGGUAACUAUUAUUGUAUGCAAAUUCCACUAUGGGUAGAUGAUCAUCCCAACUUCCCUUGAAGUCCAUCACACAAGUUCUAAUCAUGUCUUCUAACGUUUGUAUCAUUUACUCACUUUGUCCGUCUGUUUGCGGAUGAUAAGCAGUACUCAACCUCAGUUGUGUUCCCAUCCUCUCUUGUAAGCUUUUCUAGAAUUUUGACGUGAAGCGCGGAUCUCGGUCAGAGAUAAUUGAUACCGGCACUCCAUGUCGUGAAACAAUUUCCCUCACGUACAGAUUCGCUAACUGAUUCAAACUAUAUCGAAUCUUGAUUGGUAGAAAAUGUGCCGUCUUCGUUAGUCAAUCUAUAAUAACCCAAAUGGCAUCAAAACCUUUCUGCGUGACUAGAAGUCCCACCACAAAGUCCAUUGUAAUGUGCUCCCAUUUUCACUCCGGUAUUUCCAAUGGUCGGAGUAAAUCAAUCGGCCUCUGGUGCUCUGCUUUGACCUAUUAACACGUAAGACAUCUACUAACGCACUCCGCGAUUCCUCGUUUUAGAUUGGGUCACCAAAAAUGUUUUCGUAAAUCUUGGUAUAUCUUCGUGUGUCCUGGAUGAAUGAAAUGCGUCGUAUUGUGUGCCUCAUGCAAAAUUUCUUCCCUCAACUCGGUUACCGCUGGCACCCGCACUCUCCCUUCGAAUCUCAAAAUACCAUUUUUAUCCAUUUGGAAUCUCUCCUCCUCAUUUUCUGCGAUCCUCUUCCUGGCUCUCUCGCACUCUUCAUCCUAUUCUUGUGACUCCUUUAUUUUAUCCAACAAGAUUGGAUGAGCUUCAACUGCAAACAAUCUCUCUUCGGACCUCUCUAGUCCAUUUACUUUUAUCUAUAAUUUUUCCAUAUCCUUUAUUAACUCCUCCUGAGUUGUCAAUUGACAUAACUUCUCCAUUCCUUUCCUACUUAGUCGGCCACUACGUAUGCCUUCCCUGGGUGAUAAAGAAUAUCACAGUCAUAAUCCUUAAUCAGUUUAAACCCCCUUCUUUGAUGCAUGUUCAACUCUUUCUGUAUGAAGAUAUAUUUCAGACUCUUGAGAUCCGUGUAUAUCUCACAUUUUUCUCCGUACAAAUAGUGUCUCCAAAUCUUCAACGCAAAAACUAUUGAUGCUAACUCUAAAUCAUGAGUAGGGUAUCAGUUUUUGUAAUCCUUCAAUUAUCGUGACGCAUACGCAAUGACUUUGCCAUGUUGCAUUAGCACACAACCCAGUCCUCUAUGCGACGCAUCACUAUACACCACAAAUCCUCCCAUAUCAUCUGGUAAUGAUAAUAUCGGAUCCUUGCAUAAUCUCUUUUUUAGCUCCUAAAAACUCUCCUCACAUUUCUCCGUCCACAUGAAUUUCAUCGCCUUCCUCGUUAGAUUGGUCAAUGGGGUUGCUAUCUUAGAAAAAUCCUGGAUAAAUCUUCGAUAGUACCCAGCUAACCCUAAGAAAUUUCUUACUUCGGUUGGCGUCUUCGGUUGCUCCCAAUUACUCACCGCUUCUACUUUCGCAGGGUCUACAGAAAUUUCAUCCUUAUCCACUACGUGUCCUAAGAAUUGAACUUUCUCCAUCCAAAAUUCACACUUAGAAAAUUUCGCAUACAACCUCUCUUUUCUUAGUGCCUCCAAAACCACCUUAAGAUGUUUGACAUGUUCUUCUUCCGUCUUCGAGUAGAUCAAGAUAUCGUCGAUGAAAACUACUACGAAUAUAUCUAAGAAUGGCUUGAAGACUCGGUUCAUCAAGUCCAUAAACGCUGUCAUAGCAUUCGUUAACCCAAAUGACAUCACUAGAAAUUCAAAAAUGUUCGUAACGAGUUUAAAACAUCGUCUUUGAUAUGUCCUCUUCCCGUACCUUAAACUGAUGAUAUCCCGCUCGCAAAUUUAUCUUCGAGAAACACUUGGCUCCCUUCAGUUGGUCAAAAAGGUUGUCUAUCCUUGGUAACAGAUAUCUAUUCUUAAUCGUUACUCUGUUCAAUUCCUGAUAAUUGAUACAGAGCCUCAUCGAUCCAUCCUUCUUCUUUACAAACAACAUUGGUGCUCCCCAAGGAGACACAUUUGGUCGUAUGUAACCCUUAUCCAGAACCUCUUACAAUUGUAUCAUUAAUUCCUUCAUUUCUACUGGCGCCAUACGAUAUGGAGCUUUUGAAAUUGGUGUCAUUCCUGGUGCAAAGUCUAUUAUGAAAUCAAUUUCCCUGUCUGGCGGAAGACCAGUCAGAUCGUUUGGAAAUACAUAUUGAAAUUCCCUUACUACGGAUAUAUCCUGAAUUUCUACUCCCUUCUUUCGAGUAUCAACAAUGUAUGUUAAGUAAUCUAGACAUCCUUUCCUUAAUAAUUUCUUGGCCUGCAUCAUCGUAAGAUAACACGAUUGCUUAAGCAAUGAGCUACCAUAAAACACCACCUUAGACUUAUUUGGAGUCUAAAGGUUCACACUUUUAUUCUGACAAUCUAUUAUCGCAGCAUGGUUAUACAACCAAUCCAUUCCUAAUAUUAUGUCAAACUCUCCCAAUCUUAUCGGGAUCAAGUCUAUGCUUAGUUCAUAAUUUUUAAUGUUUGCACGACAAUUUCUGUAAACAUAUUCCACAGGGAUUACUUCCUUAUUUGCAACUUCUAUGUUCAAGGGAUUUCCUAAUCGUUCACGGGGUAAAUUAAGUCUACUAGCAAAUUCCUCCGAUACAAAGGAACAAGUAACACCCAAAUCAAAUAAUACGUAGGCAUUUAUAUCAUUGAUCGGGAUGAUACCUGACACCACGUCCUUCGUAGCCACUACGUCUUGGACAGUCAUAUUAAACGUUAUGGCAGUUGGACGGUUGGAUGGCGUCGGUCCGCCAAUCAUCAGCUUGCCACUUCCUCCUUGCUGGUUGCUCCCCCCCGCCGCUUCCUUUCUUUAGGCAGUCUUUGAUCAGAUGGUCUGCAGAGCCACAUGCAAAAUAACCCUUAAUCUUCUUCAACUUUGGGAAGUUUGGCGCAAUAUGCCCCCCUUGGCCACAGUUGUAACAAACACUACGCCCUUUGCAACACUCGCCCUGGUGAUACCUUCCACACUUUGGGCAUCCCUCCGCCUUCUUCUUAAACUCUCCUCAAAACUUUCUCACUUGAUUGUUGAAAUUAUUGUUGUUGUUGUUCUCCCACUUUCUCUUUCCUAAAUUGCUACCUCCGCUGCUGCUUCUUCCCCGGCUCUCUCAUCCGGUACUCUUACCAUUCUUCUCUUUGUUAUACAGACUUAAAGCUUCACUUCCUCCCUCUACAAUAAUAGAUUUUUCCAACAAUAUUGCAAAAGAAUCAAUGUGAAGAACCGAUACCUUGUUAAGCAACCAAGGCUUCAGUCCUUGUUCAAAAUGCCUAGCUUUCCUCUCUUCAUCUACCACCUGGUGUUCAGCAAACCAGGCUAGUUCAUUGAAUUUUGUCGCGUAUUGCGCCACCAUCAUAUCUCCCUACUUAAGUUCUAAGAACUUUACCUCCAUCCUAUUCUUCAUGCUCUCCGGGAAGUAAUUCUCAAAUAACAGAGUCUUAAAUCUUUCCCAUGUUACUAUUGCUUGUCUUUCUCUCUGCCGAUUUGCUUCCCACCAGUAGUUUGUUUCGUCUCUCAUCAUGUAGGUUGGAAAUGUCGUCUUCUAGUCUUCACCCACACGAGCGAUGGUGAAAGCCUUCUCCAUCUCUUUGAUCCACGUCUGCGCCACGAUCGGAUCAGUAGUGCCUACGAAUUUUGGGCGUCCUACACUCCUAAAAUCCUUAAAAUUUGUAACGGGAGCUGCUUGGGGAAUAGGUGGUACUAGUUCAUUUCUUCACCUAAGAGCUUCUCCUAACAAAUCUACCAGCCUCUGAAUAGGGUCUACCGGCCCUCUUUCAUCUUUAACCGACUCUUCCGGUGCAGUUAUUCUACGUCUGGGCGAUAUUUUUCUGCAUCACAAAAUUUUCAUUUUUACUAUUAUCUUAUUAUAUUAUUUAAACAUAUCUCAAAUAAGAAUAACAUUUUAUAACACGUUCUUGGAACAAGAUCAUUUAGAUUCAUAUGCCAAAUUGUUACAAUUACAUGAUCCUUUCUAGCAUACUUCUAUAAAUGACAACCACAUGUCCCCCUUAUCACAAAAGACGGGGACAAUACCAACAUACUACCCCUCUAACAUUUUUCAAAAGUUGGGCUUUACAUCUAUCUCACAUCUUACACAAAAGACUGAGAUUUCAACAACAAAUUAAACAUCAUAUCUAUAUAAUAAAAUAGAACCUAUUUUGAAUCUUUCAUUUGACAAAGCACAAGGACGGUUCAGAUUCAUUCUAACUUAAUUCUUUCAACUUAAUCUAAAGGCUCAUAUUUCUUCAUUCCCAAAUAAAAUUCACCCCUACACCCUACUCUCUCUCAUGUUCACACACAAAAUCUUUCUCUCUCCUCUCUUCUUCACACACACAAACAAAUAAUAAUAAUAAUUAUUAUAAUAAUUAUAAUAACAGUAAUAGUAAUAGUAAUAAUAAUAAUUAUUAUAAUAAUUAUAUUAAUUAUUAUUAUUAUUAUAGUACUAAUAAUAAUAAUAAUUAUUAUAGUACUAAUAAUAUUAAUAAUUAUUAUUAUUGUUAUUAUUAUUAUUAUUAUAAUAGUAAUAGUAAUAGUAAUAAUAAUAAUAAUAAUAAUAAUAGUAAUAAUAAUAAUUAUUAUUAUUAUAAUUAUAAUAGUACUAAUAAUAAUAAUAAUUAUUACUACUACUACUACUACUACUACUACUACUACUACUACUACUACUACUACUACUACUACUACUACUACUACUAUUACUAAUAAUAAUAAUAAUAAUAAUAAUAAUAAUAAUAAUAAUAAUAAUAAUAAUAAUAACAACAACAACAACAACAACAACAACAACAACAACAACAACAACAACAACAACAACAACAACAACAACAACAACAAUAACAACAAUAAUAAUAACAAUAAUUAUUAUUAUUGUGUAUUAUAGUGGUGUGGUGAAUUAUGAUAAUUGUUAUUGAUGAUUGUAAGUUUUGUAGACAAGUUUAGAUUUUUCUGAAUAUCUAUUUUUUAAAAAAAAUUAAUUAUUGUGGUAGUGUGGUAAAUUAUGAUAAUUGUUAUGUGUGAUUAUAAGUUAUUUUAAGUUGUAAAAAGUUUUUAGGUAAUAUAGUAUUUUUCAAAUUUUAAUCUAAUUUUUCGUUACGUCGUGCCUUCAGCCACAUGCAAGUACUAGUAUAUAAAUACAAUACUACAACCACUAAGUUUCUACAUUUAGACUCAAUCUAACAUUCUACGCUCCACGGCGCUCUGGUAUUCCUUCUGAGUAAUGUGCACCAUCACACCUCGGCUUAUGGUGUGUCGGGUCUGUCCCUGCUCUACCGGGUAAUGAUGUAUGUGAGACCCCAAAUUUUAUGAAUAAAGAUUUAAAUUUCUCGAAUUUUUUUUUUAAAUAUUAUGGUGUGGAUUUGAUAUAAUGUUAUAGUUGUGGGUAAUAUUUAUAAAUUUUUUCAAAGUAUGCAAGUUGUUAUAAAAUAUUCGUUUGGUCGGGGAAUAUUCUUUUUUUUGGGGAAUAUCCGUACGACGACACAAUCAUUGGUGGACCCCACAAUGGAAGUAUUGUCGUAGUUAGAAAAUGACAGAAUUAUCUUUUUAUAAAAAUAACGGCGAAAGUGUUACCGUUAAAAUUGUUGAAUUACCCAGUAGUAAAAGUACGGUAAUACGCGUGGUUGCAUAGUAACACACGGUAUUGAUUUAUGAUGCUUAUGUAAGAAGUCCCUCAGUUAUACUCAAUUAUUACUACAGUAAUUGUUGCGUCAUAUCUCUCAUAUUAUUGAUUCAAUUAUUGUCACAGUAUCAAUAUUUUAUAUUAUUAAAUCAAUAAUUGAGACAACAACUGUGACGCCCCCAAAAUAGGUAUACAUCACCUAUUCUGAGUCGCCAAAUACAUGGUACAGAAUAUAAAUACAAUCUUAAUUAUAUAACAAGAGAGCCGUGAGUUUAAAUACAAAUACUGUCUUCUAGACAAUAUCCACUCUCAGAAUAAGUCCUCAUUACAUUUAUUGUCACACUAUUUAACAGAAUAGUGAGGACUACUAGCUAAUACUAUCAUCCGGACCAUCACUCUCUUCCCUGACUCGUCCCAGCUACGUUUUCAUUUCCUGAAGAGAACAGUGAAAGAAAGGGUGAGCUCAACUAGCCCAGUAAGAAAUAUUAUAACUAAGAUAAUGAAAAAUAAAUUAUCAUUAGCCUUCAACAGUGUUAAACUGAUAAAAUAUAACAACAUCAAGUUUAACUGCAGCGGAACAAGCAAUCCAUUAAAAGAGUCAAGUAGAGAAUAAAAUCUACUAUCUUUUAUGAUUUAAAAGGUUUUUCAUCACUUUUAUCGCUGAGACUCAGCUUAAUAAAUAAUUCACAUCACCGAAUCACCCCUGCACUACGGCCAAGGAUAUUCUUUAGUAUCACGACCACAAAUUAUCCAUNNNNNNNNNNNNNNNNNNNNNNNNNNNNNNNNNNNNNNNNNNNNNNNNNNNNNNNNNNNNNNNNNNNNNNNNNNNNNNNNNNNNNNNNNNNNNNNNNNNNUCAACAUGAUACUGCUUUGUGCAGUAAAAUUCAAGAAUGCUCAGAAGAAUAUUUCCAUGAAAAGAUACUAGAUGAAGCGCAAAUAUCAAGAAUAUUCCACUAAUUUCAUGGAGUAUAGAAGUCAAAACUUUAACGAACUGAGUAUAAUAAGGAAUGGAAUAACAAAAGAAAUCACCAGGCAUGCGAUAGACCACACAAGUAGGUUAUUCCAACAGAAUAAUAAUUAACGGAACCAGGUCUGGCGUAAAACGCAUAGACAGGAUAUUCCAACAGAAUAAUAAAGAUGGAAUCAGGUUCGGCGUAAAACGCACAUACAGGAUAUUCCAACAGAAUAAUAAAGACGGAAUCAGGUCCGGCAUAAAACGCACAGACAGGAUAUUCCAACAGAAUAAUAACGAAUGGAAUAACAGAAGAAUUUCACCAAGUAUAGGGUAGCCCGCGUAUACCGGUUAUUCCAACAAAAUAAUAAAUAAUGGAAUAACAGAAGUUCUCUUCAUGAAUACAAAAGGAAUAAUACCCCUUACGAGUACAACAAAUAAUAUUCCCUACCUUAAGAAGAAUAAUACAAGAUAUAUGAGUAGUGAAGUAGCAGAAUACUUUUCUUCUUUCUCUCCAUAGUUUAUCUCUCUAGAGUUUCAGUGAAUUUCUAAGAAAUAAUGAAGGAAUGAGCUUCUAUUUAUAAAAAAAUGGAUUGCAUAGUAACUAACUCAUGAACGGUCCAGAUUGAUUUACUUUAAUCUGACGGUCUAUAUUUAAAGCAAAAUCUUUUAAAUAAAAUAUAAUAUAUUCUAUUUAUAAUCUAAUAAAACGAAUAACUUUAUAAAAGAUUUUACUAUGUAAACACUAUGCAGGCACUAUGCAACUACUAUGCAUAAUAAAAUAUAAUAUAUUCAAAUUAUUGUCUAAUAAAACAGAUAACUUUAUAAAAGUAUUCUGUUUUAUAUAAAAAGAUUUUACUAUUAGCCUAAUAAAACGAAUAACUUUACAAAAGUAUUCUGUUUUAUAUAAAAAGCUUUUCUGUUUUAUUACAUUAAUAAUACCAAUAAAAUAAAACUGAGUGACUUAUCACAUAAGCAUCAAUAAUUAAUAACGUGUGCUACUAUGCAACUGAUAAGUAGGUUUUAUACCUACUUAUCCGGUAUCUGUUACUUGAAUUAUUUGCUUAAUCUCAUGUUUUUCAGUUACUUUUCAUGCAUUUUGUGUUCGUUUUGUAGAUUAUAUGCUUGGGAGUUGAAAUCAUAAAGAAUUGGUAUGAAAAUGUAAAGAAAAGCAAUCCGGACAUCGUUUGGGAUUUUACGCUUAUUUCAUGUUCUUGGUUUGGAACUUGGAUUAUAUUUUAGAGCUUCUUCUUAGCUUUCCGGAACAUCUUGAAUCAUCAAAAUCGGAGUUCGGAUGCAAGAGUUAUGACAUUUGUACCAACGGACGUCGAACGUCACUGUUUUGGGUGGCCAUUUGCACAGCAGUCACUUCCAGCCCAAUUUCAACCUUCAUCCGUUCGUUAUUUCUAAAAUCUCAAAGAAUGAAAGUUGUAGAUCUCGUCGAUAUCUUCGAUUUGAUAGGUGGCAGACUUCGUAACUCUUCUUGGAUCAAAGGUUAUGGCCGUUUUCCCAAGGGACGUCAGAGCAAGAAAAUUUUCCAUCACAAAACCGCCGCUGGGGUGGGCGUACCAGCCACAAGUCAGAACCCUAGCCCGCCGCGGUGGGGGUAGCCUAGAAAAUGAGCGAAAAGUGCGAAUUUUGGUCCAAUUUGAGUUCGGAAAGGAUUGUUUCGAUCCGAUUGACACAAGAACUUCUAAGAGAACUUCCAAGAGGACUUAAAGACAUAUGAAGAGACUUAUAAAAGGAGGAGAAUCACAAGGAUUAGGAGAGAUUAGAGACUAGAUAGAGGAUUCCAUUAGAUUAGAUUAGAGUAAAUUAGAUUAAAACACUAGUUCUAAUUAGAUUUGGAGGUUGAAGCAACUUGAAGACCUUUGAAGAUCAAGAGCAGGAGCUUGAGGAAGAUGGAGAUUUGCUGACAACAAAUUUAUUCUUUACUCUACUCUUAUUUUUAUCAUUUUAUGUUAAUUCAAGUGUGGACUCUUUGUUUGAGAUUACAAUGGAUCUUAUUGUGUAGUUUAUUUUAAUAUGCUUCGUUAUCAAUUAUUAUGUUCUAUUGUGAGGAUUGUGUAUUGUGAUUUGGACUUAAUUGUUUAAUUGAUUGGCCAUUAAUUACCGUGAUAAUCUAUAUGAACUCGAGAGAUGAAGUAUUGAUUUAGAUCUUAUCAUGAUAGCAUGUGUUCAGGAUUUUGUUAAUAGCUUAAACUUGAUGAGUGUUAAGGUAGAGAUAUGCUUGACACCGCAUGUAAUCGGAUAGAGAACUUAUUCUUAAACCUUCUUCAAUUGUAAUUCACAUAGAGAUAUAGUGGGUUAGUUGAUUAAGGUGUUUAACGGAUUUCUAUCUUAAUUGUGGAUUGACGUUAAUACGGUAUUAGUGCAUCGAGAGGUGGUUAAUACUACUUUAGUGUUCUUGAUUAACAAUUCGGGAUAGAGAAUAAUUGAUGAGAAGUGUGUUAACUUAAAUGAAGCAAUAAGUGAAGUUGUGAUCUUAAAUCUCCAUAGUCUUAAUUUAAUUAGUGGAAUUUAAUAGUAGUUUAAUUUAUAUAAUUUGAAAUUCAUUCGUUUAAAUAAGAUUGAGUUGGUUACGGGUUAGUACUUGGUGAUUUUUAUUAAAUAAUUCUCUGUGGGAACGAUACUCAACUUAUCACUUUAUUACUUGUUGACCACGUAUACUUGCGUGUUGUGCGUAAUUAGAUUUUACCCAACAAGUUUUUGGCGCCGUUGCCGGGGAAUUAGUUUAAUAACUCUUUGCCAAUAUUAAUUUCAAUCAAAUUAGUCUUAAUUUAAACAUUUUUAUUUUUAUUUUUAAUUCUCUUCCUAUAUUUCUCUCUUUUCAGGUACCAUGGAUGACUUUGCGUAUCAAUGACCAUACACGAACAUGACUCAACCAAGGGAAACAGGGAUUGAUGGACUUAAUACAUCUUCUAUAGAGCCAAUACAAAUUGAGGUAACUUCGAAGACGUUGGAGGUUAUUCGAGCCCAACGAAGUCGAAGGAUGGCAAGAAUGACUCAGCCAAGGGGAGCGGAGAUUUACAGACUCGCGACACUUUCCGCAAUGUCAGCACAGAUUGAAGAACUUUCGAGGAAGUUGGACGUUUUUGUAGCCCAAAUAAGUCGAAGGAUUGCAGUUAUUUGUGACUAUUGUGCUGGCAAUCACCCGAGUAAUCAAUGAACCAUCAAUCUUGGGUCGGUACAGUAUGGUGGUAACUACCUCAAUCAGUAUGCAUAUGAUAAUUAUGAUCAAGUUUGGGGGUAUCACCCGGAUUCUUCAUGGAGCUACAACUAUCAAGACCAAUACUCUAUUCCAGAUCCAACAUACACGCCAGAUUUCUCAUAUCAACCUCCAUUAAAAGAAGAAAAGUCAAAGUUGGAGGAAUUGUUGUCCAAGUUCAUAGCAUCAAAUGAGGAGAGGAGGAUGAAUCAAGAGAUAUCACGUCACAAUCUGCAGAACCAGAUAGAUCAAAUGCUCAAAUCCUUGAAUAACUAUCCUCAAAAUAAUUGGUGUUAUGACGAGGAUUCCGAGAUUGAUGAAGUGCCCGAACCAAAUCUACAAUUGGAUGAGACACGAGAUGUUGAAAAAAAGGAGACAAAUGGGGAUAGUGACAACAAGGUCGGUGAAGAACUAACUAUGAGUACUAACAAGGAUGAGCCGAUGUUAUUAGUGCCCCAAUUUCCUUCUCCACCAAAGUUCAAGGAUCCGGUUAGAUUUGAAAAAUCAUGCCCACUUGGUAGCCAUGUCGUAGGCAAGGCUCUUUAUGACAUGAGAGCUAGUGCAACAAUGAAGCCAUGGUGGGAAGAGAAAGAGAAGAUAGACGAAGAGCCCAUUGUGUUUGACACACUUCCAUGCCCACAUAUGAUCACAAACACAAUGGAGAUAGCACCUAGGUAUGUGCCCUUCUUCAUGGAGAUUAUACCGAGUCAGAGCAUGCUAGGUGACUUUGAUGCUAUGGCCAUCGCUUUUGGGAACCUCCCAAAGGAUUAUUUGCUAAUGAUGGAUGGAGGGUUCCUCAAUUACCGAAGAGGAAUUGGAUAGCGUUGACCAGAUAAAGUCAGGCUGAAAGACUAUAAUUCAAGCGCUAACUAGGAGGCAACCCAGGAAUUUUUAUUUAUUUAUUUAUAUGCUUUCUUAGUUUAUUUAGUAGAUAGGAAUCCAAGUGUUAUUCUAAUCCAUGUUGUAUCUCUUCAUUUCAGGUAUUGGAGGUUCAAUGGAUAGGAAAAUGAUCGUCGCCGCCAACGCCACCAUCACCACAAUCUUAAAUGAUUACAGGGAAGUCCUCGUCCACUUCAUGCUUUAUUUUAUAAUGAGGACAUUGUAAUUGUUAAGUUUGGGGGAGUUAAAUAAUUUAGGUUUAUUUAUGUUUGCAUUCAUGUAGUGUAAUUGCAUAAUAGUUUGCAUAGUAGAGUAGUUGCAUAAUAGUUUUUAUUUAUAACAAAAAAAAUGAAAAAAAUAAAAUCAAAAAUAAUAGUUAGUUACUAUGUUCAUCUUGCAUGAUUCCAGCUGUUAGAUAGUUACAGUUUGUUUUGGCCAAUGAUGAGAUUGGAAUUGGGUAGACAAGUAUAGUAUUGACCAUUAGAGCUUUGAUGUGAUUUCUUGUUAUGAAUUGAGUCUUUUUCUGUUUGAAACUGGUAUAAUAAGGAUAACACAGUAAAAAUAACUUGUUGAUUGAUUGAGUUUAAAUUGAUACAUAAUGAGAUUCUAAAGGAUAAUGCUAGUUUGAAUGAAAGAAUGACAAGAACAAGUAGUGAUGGCUAAAGUUACACAAGAACCUAAGUUUGGGGGAAAAAGUGGGGUAUAUAAGCUAAAAAAAAAGAUAUCGAGUUGAAUAAAUUGAGUCUUGUGGUGGGUCGAGAAGAAGCGUGAAAUGCACUCCUCAUAAACACAGGCGUGAGAUGGAGCGUAAAAUGCACUCACUAUCCAAAAAGAAAAAAAAGAGAAUAAAUAAAACGGGAAAUAAGAGCAAAAAGCCCCCGUAGAUGAAAAAUAAAGCAUAAGUAUCCCAUGUUGACCCGCGAUAUUGGUAACUAUUUGAUUUUAGUUGGAUCUAGCUUAUUUUUGGAUUUCUUGAGUUUACACUGUAUGAUGCCUUAUAAGAGACUUGUUAUGUGUUAAAUUUGAUUUUAUGUCAGUUAACAUUGUUGUGGAGCACACACGCACUAUAUUCGUGAUAACAGUCUAAGAUUUGAUGAUUGAUUGAGAAGUUACUGAUGAGUUCUGAUAUGAUGUAUUAUCGUGUUUACUUGAUUUUUCUAAGGCCGGUUGAAUAGACUUGUUUCUGUCAUUACUGCUGGAUUCGUAGGCAUUUAGAUUAGUUGCAUUGCAUUGCAUUAUUAUUUUGUGUUUUUGCUUGAGGACAAGCAAAGGUUUAAGUUUGGGGGUAUUUGAUAAGUAAGUUUUAUACCUACUUAUCCGGUAUCUGUUACUUGAAUUAUUUGCUUAAUAUCAUGUUUUUUAGUUACUUUUCAUGCAUUUUGUGUUCGUUUUGUAGAUUAUAUGCUUGGGAGUUGAAAUCACAAAGAAUUGGUAUGAAAAUAUAAAGAAAAGCAAUCCGGACAUCGUUUGGGCUUUUAUGUUUAUUUCAUGUUCUUGGUUUGGAACUUGGAUUAUAUUGUAGAGCUUCUUCUUAGCUUUCCGGAACAUCUUGAAUCAUCAAAAUUGGAGUUCGGAUGCAAGAGUUAUGACAUUUGUACCAACGGACGUCGAACGUCACUGUUUUGGGUGGCCAUUUGCACAGCAGUAACUUCCAGCCCAAUUUCUACCUUCAUUCGUUCGUUAUUUCUAAAUUCUCAAAGAAUGAAAGUUGUAGAUCUCGUCGAUAUCUUCGAUUGGAUAGGUGGCAAGCCUCGUAACUCUUCCUGGAUCAAAGGCUAUGGCCGUUUUCCCAAGGGAUGUCAGAAUAAAAAAUUUUCCGUCACAAAACCGCCGCCGGGGUGGGCGUACCAGCCACAAGUCAGAACCCUAGCCCACCGGAGAGGGCCCAAAUCAAGCAUAAACCCCCGCCGGGGCGGGGGUAGCCCAGAAAAUGCGCGAAAAGUGCGAAUUUUGGUCCAAUUUGAGUCCGAAAAGGAUUGUUUCGAUCCGAUUGACACAAGGACUUCCAAGAGAACUUCCAAGAGGACUUAAAGACAUAUGAAGAGACUUAUAAAAGGAGGAGAAUCACAAGGAUUAGGAGAGAUUAGAGACUAGAUAGAGGAUUCCAUUAGAUUAGAUUAGAGUAAAUUACAUUAAAACACUUGUUCUAAUUAGAUUUGGAGAUUGAAGCAACUUGAAGACCAUUGAAGAUCAAGAGCAGGAGCUUGAGGAAGAUGGAGAUUUGCUGACAACAGAUUUAUUCUUUACCCUACUCUUAUUUUUAUCAUUUUAUGUUAUUUCAAGUGUGGAUUCUUAGUUUUAAUUCAAUGAACUAAUUCUUUAUUUGAGAUUACAAUGGAUCUUAUUGUGUAGUUUAUUUUAAUAUGCUUCGCUAUCAAUUAUUAUGUUCUAUUGUGAGGAUUGUCUAUUGUGAUUUGGACUUAAUUGCUUAAUUGCCUAGCUAACAAUUACCGUGAUAAUCUAUAUGAACUCGAGAGAUGAAGUAUAGAUUUAGAUCUGAUCAUGAUAGCAUGUGUUUGUGAUUUCUGCAUAGAUGGAAUUCAUGAUUCGUGUUUAGGAUAGAGAUAUGCCUUUACGCCAUAUGUAAUCUUAUAGAGAACUUGUGCUUUAAAUCCUUUUUAAUUGUAAUUCACAUAGAGAUAUAGUGGAUUAGUUAAUUAGGGUGUCUUGCUUAAUUCUAUCAUCUGUGGAUUUAAGUGAGUAUGGGUAUUAUGCAUCGAGAGGUGGUUUUAUCUGCUUUAGUGUUCUUGAUUAACAAUUCAGGAUAGAGAAUAAUUGAUGAGAAGUGUGUUAACUUAAAUGAAGCAAUAAGUGAAGUUGUGAUCUUAAAUCUCCGUAAUCUUAAUUUAACUAGUGGUAAUUAGAAUUAGUUUACUUAUAAAUUGAAAUUCCUUCGUUUAAAUAAGAUUGAGUUGGUUACGGGUUAGUACUUGGUGAUUUUUAUUAAACAAUUCCUCGUGGGAACGAUACUCUACUUUCACUUUAUUACUUGUUGACCACGUAUACUUGCGUGUUGUGUGUAAUUAGAUUUUACCCAACAAGUUUUCAAAAACUUGUUGGUGAAAAUCAAUACGCUUAAAAACACGUAAGUGCACGUGGUCAACAAGUAAUAUAGUAGUGAAUAAAGUAUCAGUCCCACGAGGACAAAAUAUAAAGAAUCUUAACUUCACAAUUAUCAAUUUUGUAUUAACCCUAAUUUUAUUAAACUAAUCAAUUCAAUGGUUUUAAAUUAUAUAUGAAAAACUAAAUUAAUAAAGAUAUAAACUAUCACAAAACAGUCACCAAUAAUGAAAUCCGGAAUUUCAAACAAUUAAUGGAGAAUUAGACUUAUGAUUUCACCCUGAGCUUCCCUCUGAUUUUCCAACCUUUAUUCCAACUCAAUUAAAUAUUCCAGUUUAUUAAUCAAGAACACGAACGUAGUAAAAGCCACCUCUCGAUGCACUAAUACCAUAUUAACAUCAAUCCACAAUUAAGAUAGAAAUCCAUUAAACACCUAAAUUAACCAACUCACUAUAUCUCUAUGUGAACUGCAAUAAAAAAAGGUUGAAGUUUAAGCUCUCCAUACGAUUACAUGCGAUGUUAAGCGUAUCUCUACCUUAACAAUAAUCACAAAUCUGCUAUCGACAAAAUUCAUGACACAUGCUAUAUUAACUAGGUCUAGAUUNNNNNNNNNNNNNNNNNNNNNNNNNNNNNNNNNNNNNNNNNNNNNNNNNNNNNNNNNNNNNNNNNNNNNNNNNNNNNNNNNNNNNNNNNNNNNNNNNNNNNNNNNNNNNNNNNNNNNNNNNNNNNNNNNNNNNNNNNNNNNNNNNNNNNNNNNNNNNNNNNNNNNNNNNNNNNNNNNNNNNNNNNNNNNNNNNNNNNNNNNNNNNNNNNNNNNNNNNNNNNNNNNNNNNNNNNNNNNNNNNNNNNNNNNNNNNNNNNNNNNNNNNNNNNNNNNNNNNNNNNNNNNNNNNNNNNNNNNNNNNNNNNNNNNNNNNNNNNNNNNNNNNNNNNNNNNNNNNNNNNNNNNNNNNNNNNNNNNNNNNNNNNNNNNNNNNNNNNNNNNNNNNNNNNNNNNNNNNNNNNNNNNNNNNNNNNNNNNNNNNNNNNNNNNNNNNNNNNNNNNNNNNNNNNNNNNNNNNNNNNNNNNNNNNNNNNNNNNNNNNNNNNNNNNNNNNNNNNNNNNNNNNNNNNNNNNNNNNNNNNNNNNNNNNNNNNNNNNNNNNNNNNNNNNNNNNNNNNNNNNNNNNNNNNNNNNNNNNNNNNNNNNNNNNNNNNNNNNNNNNNNNNNNNNNNNNNNNNNNNNNNNNNNNNNNNNNNNNNNNNNNNNNNNNNNNNNNNNNNNNNNNNNNNNNNNNNNNNNNNNNNNNNNNNNNNNNNNNNNNNNNNNNNNNNNNNNNNNNNNNNNNNNNNNNNNNNNNNNNNNNNNNNNNNNNNNNNNNNNNNNNNNNNNNNNNNNNNNNNNNNNNNNNNNNNNNNNNNNNNNNNNNNNNNNNNNNNNNNNNNNNNNNNNNNNNNNNNNNNNNNNNNNNNNNNNNNNNNNNNNNNNNNNNNNNNNNNNNNNNNNNNNNNNNNNNNNNNNNNNNNNNNNNNNNNNNNNNNNNNNNNNNNNNNNNNNNNNNNNNNNNNNNNNNNNNNNNNNNNNNNNNNNNNNNNNNNNNNNNNNNNNNNNNNNNNNNNNNNNNNNNNNNNNNNNNNNNNNNNNNNNNNNNNNNNNNNNNNNNNNNNNNNNNNNNNNNNNNNNNNNNNNNNNNNNNNNNNNNNNNNNNNNNNNNNNNNNNNNNNNNNNNNNNNNNNNNNNNNNNNNNNNNNNNNNNNNNNNNNNNNNNNNNNNNNNNNNNNNNNNNNNNNNNNNNNNNAGUUCUAAUAAUCCAUACUAUAUUGGUUAACUUGUUCACAAUCUCAUCACUGGCCCACAAAAAUAACAUGAAAAAUGCGACACCGUUGGACAUAUGCAAACACACUAUUUAACUAAUUUUUUUAUUUUAUUAUAUAUAUAUAUAUAUAUAUAUAUAUAUAUUUUAGAUAUAUGAAAACAAUGCAAAAUCCUAACUACUAUGCAAAUACCUAUUCUAUAAUGCAAAACUAGAUAUGACAACAAAAAUUUAAAAAUGCAUGUAUGCAACUAAACAAAUUACUCCCCCAAACUUAAAUAAGACAAUGCCCUCAUUGGAUAACAAUAAAGUGCAAUACGACUUCCCUGGAAUCGUCUAAGUCUGGGGCGGUGGUUGGUGCUCUUCCUCAUCGGAAUCACUAGGAGAAAAGCGAGGUAAUGGACCGGGUUAUUGAUAUGAAAAUUGAGCCGCCAGGUUGAAACUUUGAAGCGUUGUGUUGAAUGAGGCGAAAGAUGCGUUUAUGGCAUCAAACAUGUGAUCUUGGCGCAUCGCCAAUCGCCGCAUUUCCCGGCGUGCUGCCCUAUUAUGCGCAUUCAUCUGAUUUUGGAACUCAAGGAACUGAGUACUAGAAAAUGCCUCAGACUGCGGAACCUGCUCGGUUCCUUGAUCUCCCAUUGUUUCAUCCUCAUCCCCCGAGGUAUCUGCGACAUCGACUUCGUCUUCCGACGCCGAUGGAAAAAUAAAACCCAAACCCCAUGGAUGUGACUCUCCUCCACCCCACACUGAAUACCGCGCAAUCAUUCGUGAAUCAAGUAAAGCAAGCGGCGGUUGAGUUGGCUCAUCAUCAGAAUAAUGCACCCCGGCGUUGCGGCAUAACGCACAUAUAAGUGAAGGGUGUGGCAAACCACCCGAAAAAUUUCCACGUAAGCACCGGCGGAUGGAGAAACUGAUGAUGGCCCCGACGUCGAUAAUGAAAUCUUGCACAAUGGCGUAUAACAGUAACGCCUUCUCUUUGGUGACGUCUGAAGUGUGUUGGUAUGGAAGUAAUUUUGCACAUAAAAAUGCGUACCAUAUCUUUCCAUACCGGGUUAAGUCCUUACUAUUAAACACUGUUCCUCCCUUCCUACCUUUGGUCCAAGAUGUGCCCGGCUUUGUCAAAUUUUUAAUAACCUCCUCAUAAUUGGGUCAAAAUCCCUCAUUUGGGCAUACUGACAAUGGUGUGGCACCCGCAACUGAUAGUAAGCAUUGAUUGCAUCGUCACUAAAUGGAACCAUUUGACCCCGCACAAACGCUUUGAAAGGAGCUUUGUCUUCGGCGUUUGCAUAGAAUUCCUUAACAAUAUUAACCACGGUGGGUGUCAGAUGUUCAGUGAAUUUGAUCCACCCCUUUUGGUGAAUUUGGGACAUCAUCUCCCCGUCGUUCCCCUCGGGGGCCAAACCACACUCUGGCGUAAGUGCCUUAGAUUGCAUGUACUCAUAACGGUCGGCGGCGACGGCACUCACAAAUUUUUGGCGGUCAUAGGUGGUUGGCGGUGGAGCGGCGCUUGAACUCGCCCCCCGUUGGCGUUUGGGUGUCGGUUGAGAAACCAUUGAAUUUCAGCAGUGAAUUCUUGCUAUUAAACACUACCUUUCCCGAAAACUUGGUUUAGUCAAUCUGUCAAACACUUAGCGUGCACAGACCAUUCGGAUCCCCCAAACUUAGGUUGGUGCUAUGGAGUUGAGAAAAGAUGAAGACUUGACACUAUAGCAACUUACCCUCAAGUGUGUGUAUCCCAAUUUCUUGAAGAAUUCGAGUUUAAUGGUGUUGAAUAUGGGAAGUAUGAGGUAGGGUUUAUAUAGAGUGAUUUGGGGGAGAUGAAAUGGUGGACGGGAUUGAAGUCGUGUGGAAGUCGUGGGGUAGAAGGUGGGUUUAAUUGAUUUAGGUAGUGGUAGUAGUGGUAGUAGUUGUUUGGUAUCGUGGGUUGCGUUUAGGAGAUGAACCAAAGAUGGCACCAAGUUUGUAUAUGAGGGGGAUAUAACUGGGGCAUGCGGUCUAAAUAAACAUGUCUGCCCAGGAUUCAGGACCCCCGCCCCGGCGGGGGGUGCUAGGCCAAAAAGGCUCGCCUCGGCGGGCAUGCCCACUGUUAAAAUUUUUGGCCAAAAAUUUUUUGAGAUGCAAAAUUCUCUGAUUUUUCUCCAUUUUGUAGUCGUUGUUGCUCUGACUCACGUUGGACCUCUCUUGAAACCAAAAACAUGCAAUAUGUUAGAUUAAUGACGACUUGGAGUUUCAAUGAGAUUUUUAGUACUUUUCAGAGAUUUUUAGCAAAAAUUAUAAUUGACAAGACCUAACUACUGCUUCAUAAACUAUAUCCUAACAAAUUAAACAUGAACUAUGAAAAAUAAAGAAAAGUUGGGUUGCCUCCCAAUUAGUGGUUGAUUUUAAGUCGUUCAGCCUGACUACUCCCUGUUUUACUGUGUAUCGGCGAGGGUAAUGUUGUCGGCGUCCCAAUUCGACUCGCCACCCCAGUAAUGCUUUAUCCGUUGACCAUUGACCUUGAACAUUUCUAACGGAUUACGACUGUAGAGUUCAACGGCACCAUGAGGAAAUACUCAUUUUAUUGUAAAUGGUCCCAACCAUCUCGACUUAAGCUUUCUUGGAAAUAAUCGCAGCCGUGAGUUGAACAAGAGGACUGAUUGGUCCGGCUCAAAUGUUCGUUGAACAAUUUUCUGGUCGUGCCAUCUUUUAACCUUUUCUUUGUAUAGCUUGGUGUUCUCGUAGGCUGGGAGUCGAAAUUCGUCAAGCUCAUUUAGUUAAAGUAGCCUCUUUUCUCCUACCGCGGCUUGAUCAAAAUUCAAUUUUUGUAUUGCCCAAUAGGCCUUCUGCUGUAGCUCCACCGGUAAGUGACAUGCUUUUCCGUACAUGAGUUGAUAGGGUGACAUCCCGAUUGGUGUUUUGUAUGCAGUCCAAUACGCCCAUAAUGCGUCAUCCAACCGAAGUGACCAAUCUUUUCGACUCGGAUUUACGACUUUUUCCAAUAUCAUCUUAACUUCUCUGUUCGAUACCUCGGCUUGCCCAUUAUUUUGAGGCUGUAGCCACCUUGUGAUUGACCCCAUACUUAGCCAAAAGAGCUGUAAAUGACUUAUUAUAGAAGUGACUGCCUUCAUCACUAAUUAUUGCUCUUGGCGUGCCAAACCUCGUGAAAAUGUUUUUCUGUAGAAACUUGAGGACCACCUUGGCAUCAUUAGAUGGUAACGCUGCAGCUUCAACCCAUUUCGAGACGUAAUCCACCGAGAGCAGAAUAUUCUGAUUGCUCAAAGACGACGGGAAUGGUCCCAUGAAAUCGAUGCCCCAUACAUCAAAGAUUUCCACUUCAAGAAUUGUUUGUAGGGGCAUCUCACUUCGUUUCGAUAUGUUUCCCACCCUUUGGCAUCUAUCACAUGUUUUCACAAAUUGGUGGGCGUCUUUGAACACUAUAGGCUAAUAAAACCCAGAUUGAAGCACUUUUGCCGCGGUGCGCUCACUCCCGUAAUGUCCACCGUAUGCCGAUGAGUGGCAUUCUUGUAAUAUGUUGUGGACUUCACUGUAUGGGAUACAUCAUUGAAUCAUCUUAUCGGUGCAUUGUUUAAAUAGAUACAGCUCAUCCCACAUGUACCACUUGACGUCGUGAAGAAACUUCUUUUUCUUUUGUCGUGUAAGAUCCGGGGGAAGCAUCUUGCUUACCACAUAAUUCGCGAAAUCUGAAUACCACGAAAAUUCUGCAUUCAACCCAAAUAACUGCUCAUCCGCGAAUGUCUCGUUGAUCAUGCAUCUAUCUUCAUCCUUUUUCUCUGGAUUUUCCAGCCUUGAUAAAUGAUCGGCAACUUGAUUCUCCGUCCCCUUUCUAUCUUUAAUUUCUAAAUCAAACUCUUGAAGUAGGAGAAUCCAUCGGAUAAGGCAUGGCUUAGCAUCUUUUUUCGCUAUUAAGUACUGAAUCGCCGAAUGGUCCGUGUAGACUAUUACCUUAGUCCCGAUCAAGUAUGCCCGGAAUUUGUCGAACGCGUACACCACUGCAAGCAAUUCCUUUUCCGUAGUAGUGUAGUUCAUUUGAGUCUCUGCGAGUGUUUUACUUGCAUAGUAUAUGGCGUGAAACACCUUGUCUCGUCUUUGGCCCAAAACAGCCCCGACCGCAUAGUCGCUCGCAUCACACAUAAGUUUGAAUGGCGUUUUCCAGUCCGGUGCGACUAUCACGGGGGCUGUAGUUAAUUUCUUCUUCAAUAGGUUAAACGCGGACUUAUAUUCUGUAGUAAAGCUGAAAGUGGCAUCCUUCUCUAAAAGACUGAAUAGAGGUUUUUCAAUCUUAGAGAAGUCUUUUAUGAACCUCCUAUAGAACCCAUCAUGCCCCAGAAAACUUCUAAUGCCCUUAACUGAGCCCGGUGGAGGUAGUUUCUCGAUCGUGUCCAACUUUGCCUUGUCCACCUCCAAUCCUUGAGCCGACACCUUAUGUCCCAAAAUUAUGCCCUCUUCAACCAUGAAGUGGCAUUUUUCCCAAUUUAGUAUGAGGUUUGUAUCCUUACAUCACUGCAAUACCAUGACCAGAUUCUUUAAGCAAGUGUCAAAAUUGGCCCCAUAGACCGAGAAAUCGUCCAUGAAGACUUCAACGUUCUUCUCCACCAUAUCCGAAAAAAUAGCCAUCAUACACCGCUGGAAAGUUGCAGGUGCAUUGCACAGUCCGAAUGACAUUCUCCUGAAUGCAAAGGUACCGUAAAGGCAAGUGAAUGUUAUCUUUUCUUGAUCCUCAGGAGCGAUAGCAAUCUGAUUAUAUCCCGAAUAUCCAUCCAAUAAGUAGUAAAACUCAUGUCCCGCUAACCUGUCUAACAUUUCAUCGAUAAAAGGUAACGGGAAAUGAUCCUUUCGGGUUGCCUUAUUCAAUCUCCUAUAAUCGAUGCACACCCUCCAACCUGUCACUAUCCUUGUUGGAAUUAACUCAUUAUCCUCAUUCUGAAUUACCGUCAUUCCUCCUUUCUUAGGCACACAAUGAAUCAGACUCACCCAUUUACUGUCGGAAAUUGGAUAUAUGACACCGGCAUCCAAUAAUUUCAGAAUUUCCUUCUUGACCACUUCCUUCAUGAUUGGGUUAAGUCGACGUUGAUGCUCCACUGAUAGACUUGCAUCAUCCUCCAUCAGAAUCUUGUGCAUGCAAAAUGAUGGGCUAAUGCCUUUUAUAUCCGCAAUCGUCCAUCCAAUUGCUGAUUUGUGAUCCCUAAGCACCCUUAGCAACUUUUCUUCCUGCAAUUCGUUAAGUGCAGCAGAAAUAAUUACAGGUAAAGAAUUUAAAUCGCCUAAAUACGCAUACAUGAGAUGUUUAGGGAGUGGCUUAAGUUCCAAUGUCAGUGGCUCCACCAAUGAUGGUUUCAAUUUUUCUGCAACUGUCUCCUCGGUGUGCAGAGGUUCAACCGGUGCUCUGAAUCGGUUAACUCUUGGCAACGAGUCUAGCAUCUGUAAUAAGUCCACAAAUUCUGGGUCGUCUUUUUCUUCAUCCCCCAAUAAGGUUGUUUCUAACGGAUCAUUGAUCAAACUCUUGUUAAUAUCUUCACUGGUAAUUUGCUCAAUUAAAUCCAUUCGAUAACAUUCUUCCUCGUCCGUAGGAUAUUUCAUGGCCUUGAACACAUUGAAUUUUAUUUCUUGAUCUUGGACCCUCAUUGUAAGUUCUCGUUUUUGCACGUCUAUGAGUGUCCUUCCCGUGGCCAAGAAAGGUCUCCCUAGGAUGAUCGGGAUGUUCUUAUCUUCAUCGAAAUCCAGUAUGAUAAAAUCCGCAGGGAAUAUAAACUUAUCCACUUUUACCAAAAUGUCCUCUAUAAUGCCCCUCGAAUAUGUGAUUGACCUAUCCGCCAACUGCAAUGAAAUAUUCGUAGGCUUUGGCACGGGCAAACCCAAUUCUGAAUAUACUGAUAAUGGCAUCAGGUUUAUACUCGCCCCCAAAUCACAUAAGCACUUGUUAAACGAUAUCUUCCCGAUCGUACAUGGGAUAGUAAAGCUCCCCGGGUCCUUGAGUUUUUGUGGAAGCUUUUUCUGUAACACUUCACUACACUCCUCUGUUAGUGCCACUGUUUCAAAGUCUUCCCAUUUCUUCUUCCUCGACAGAAUUCCCUUCAUAAACUUCGCAUAACUCGACAUUUGUUCUAGGGCCUCUGCGAAUGGGAUGUUAAUCUGGAGUUUAUUGAACACAUUUAAAAACUUUGUGAACUGCUUAUCUGAUUUCUAUUUUUGGACCCUCUGCUGAAAUGGCGGUGGAGGAUAAACAAUCGGCUUGCUGUUUAACUUCUCAACAUAACUGCUUGACAUUGCUCAUGAUUACCCUUCGUAUUUCUUUCAGUGUCGCUAGGUAAUGUUCCUUGUGGUCUAUUAUUCAAUGCCAAUGCAAUUUAACCUAUCUGAUUCUCUAUAUUUUUGAUAGCAAUAGCUGGAUUCUUCAUAACCAAAUCGUUGCUCGUCAUGUACCUUGCCCAUGAUUCCUCCCCAUCGGAUUUCCUGUCCUACUAUUGAAUCUGUUGUGGAUGACUAUGAAAACCAGGGGGAUAUGAUGGUCGUGGAGCUUGAGUUUGUUGAUUAUUGCUCCAUGAAAGGUUUGGGUGGUUCCUAUUCCCCUGGUUGUAGGUGUUUUGGUAAGUAUUUUGCGGAAUUCUAUUUAGUUGCCUAUGAACUGAACGGAUGCUGGAUUUAUUGCACACUGCUCUGUCGGAUGAUCACCCACACACAAUUCACAUACUACCAUAACCUGCUGAACUUGUUGAACUUGAGCCCCUGCCAUCGUAUUUACCCUCUCAUUCAUCGUAUCAAACUUCAUGGAUAAUGCAGAAAGCUGUGCAUGUAUAGCUGUUACUCCAUCUAAUUCCAAGAUCCCAGCCGCCUUUGCCUGUGUCAUUCUUGCUGUGGUCCACUGGUAGUUAUUUGUCGACAUUAUUUCUAUCAAAUUAUAGGCUUCCUCGUAAAUCUUAGCCAUGAAUGCACCGCCCGAUGCCGCAUCAAUGCUAGUUCUGACAUUUUCAUGUAGCCCGUUAUAGAAGGUGUUCAUUUAUAACCACUUGGGCAAUCCAUGAUGUGGGCACUUUCUGAGUAAUUCCUAGUAUCUCUCCCAUGCCUCAUAUAGUGACUCCCCAUUCUGCUGCUCAAACAUUGUGAUGUCAUUCCUCAUUUUCGCAGUCUUCGUCGGUGGGAAAAAUUUGGCAAGAAAUUUUUGAGCCAAAUCAUCCCACGUAGUGAUCGAACCCGACGGUAAAGAAUGUAACCAACUCUUCGCCUUGUCCCGUAAAGUGAAUGGGAAUAAGCGAAGUCUCACUGCCACAUCCGACACCCCAUUGUACUUGAACGUGUCGCACAUUUCCAGAAAACUGAUCAAAUGCUCAUUCGGAUCGUUGUUUUCCAUUCCCCCAAACUGACAUAAGUUCUGCAUCAUCUAAAUGGUCCCAGGCUUUAUCUCAAAAGUGUUCGCAGCAAUUGCAGGCCUAGUAAUGCUCGACUGCAGAUCAGUCACCCUAGGUGCGGCAAAAUCCCUCAACGCUUUCUGGUCUUCGACAGCCAUCGUUUCUUCCUUAUCAGAAUUUUUGAAUUCAUUCCUCGUUUCCUCAAUCCACUUACUCAACUUUUUAAAUCGUCUGUCAAUGUCGUCCUCAAAAGGAAGCAAGUCUGGAUGUUUAGAUCAUGUUUGCAUAAACCAAUGUCGAAAACCUGAAAUAGAGAAAACAAAAUAAAAAUGUUUAAGUAAAACUGGACUAAUUAAACUAAUAUUGUAAAAACAAAUAUUAAAAUCUCGGCUAAAUUGUCCCCGGCAACGGCGCCAAAAACUUGUUGGUGAAAAUCAAUACGCUUAAAAACACGCAAGUGCACGUGGUCAACAAGUAAUAUAGUAGUGAAUAAAGUAUCGUUCCCACGAGGACAAAAUAUCAAGAAUCUUAACUUCACAAUUAUCAAUUUUGUAUUAACCCUAAUUUUAUUAAACUAAUCAAUUCAAUGGUUUUAAAUUAUAUAAAAAAAACUAAAUUAAUAAAGAAAUAAACUAUCACAAAACAGUCCCCAAUAACGAAAUCCGGAAUUUCAAACAAUUAAUGGAGAAUUAGACUUAUGAUUUCACCUUGAGCUUCCCUCAGAUUUUCCAACCUUUAUUCCAACUCAAUUCAAUAUUCCAGUUUAUUAAUCAAGAACACGAAUGUAGUAAAAGCCACCUCUCGAUGCACUAAUACCAUAUUAACAUCAAUCCACAAUUAAGAUAAAAAUCCGUUAAACACCUAAAUUAACCAACUCACUAUAUCUCUAUGUGAACUACAAUCAAAAAAGGUUGAAGUUUAAGCUCUACAUACAAUUACAUGCGAUGUCAAGCGUAUCUCUACCUUAACAAUAAUCACAAAUCUGCUAUCGACAAAAUUCAUGACACAUGCUAUAUUAACUAGGUCUAGAUUCGAAUCUCCUCUCUCGAUUCCUUUCAAAUCCACAAAGAACUGUUGAUCAGACAAUUCAUAAAUUCACGCUCAAAUUAACAUAGAUAAACUAAAAAUAUCUUAUUGAAUUGGAAAUCAAAGUUAUAGAAUCAUCGUUUCACCCAAGGAUCCAUCACAAGUCUAAUAAGUAAAUUAGUUCAUAAUGAAUAAAUUAAAAACUAAAUAAUUUGUGGAAAACAUCCUUCCAAUUACAAAUAGAUGAAAGAGAAGAAGAAUUAUGGAAAACCCCUUCACGUAGCCUCGAUUUGCAACCGUUGUGAUAAUCUCUGAAAAUUACUCCUCCAACGUUCGCUCUUCAAUCCUUGAAAUCGCUCUUGAAUUAUGCCUUUGUGUGUUGUAAGAUUGUUGUUUUUCUACGUAAUUGCAAGCUCUCUUUCUCCUCUGGACGAAAAUCCUUUUUAUUAGAGUCCAAACGCAUCAUUCAAGUCCAACAAACCGAGCUCUAGCAGAAGUUGAAACUAAACAGGACAGUUCAGGAAACGGGACCCCCGCCCCGGCGGGCUAGGCUACUGACUUCAAGUUUUUCUUACUCCAACUUUUUUCUACUUUUUCUCCAAAAAGACCGUCUUUCCUCACCAAUAGCAUCCAUGAUCACCCUACACAUAAAAUAACAUGAAACGAGUAAAAACGAACACAAAACAUGAAAAUAACUACGAAUUUAAACUUGAAAUGAAUAUCGAUUCGUUAAUAUAAAAUCCACUUAUCAGGAAUCACGCGUAUUACUAUACUUUUACUACCGAGUAGUUCAACAGUAUUAAUGGUAAAACUUCCGCCGUUAUUUUCAAUAAAAUAUUUUUGUCGUUUUCUUAAUUCGACAAUAAUUCUGUUGUGGGGUCCACCAAUGAUUGUGUCGUCGUACGGAUAUUUCCUGUUUAAAACAAAUAUUCCCCGACUAAUCGAAUAUUAUAUAACAACUUGCGUACUUUGCAAAAUUUAUAAAUAUUACCCACAACUAUAACAUUAUAUCAAUUUCACUCCAUAAUAUUCAAAAAUAAUAUUUAUAGAAAAUUCAUGUUUAUUCAAAAAGUUGGGGUCUUACAACAAAGUUAUUCAUAUUAUUAUUUGCAAUAUUGACAAUGUCUAGAAGUUCUGUCAAGGAGAGGUUUGGUCACCUAAUUGCGCGCCAAUAAGGAGAAAUCCUUAUCGGAAAGCCCCCUCUUUCCUGGGAACGACCUGGUUGUUAAAUAUUGUGAGUUAUAAUAUUAAUGAUGAAUAAGUUCGUGUUGAUUAAAGAUGAAAUUGAUAGUUCCAUUGUGUUGGAAGUAUUAGUUUUAGUGGAAAUUGACAUUUAUUUCGAUAAUAAUUGAUGUCUAGAGGUUAUAUUGACCAAUCGGAUAAUUAACCGGAUAAAUGAGCAAUUAAUUGCUAUUAAUUCACAUGCUUAUAACUAUUUGUUCACAUGUGUGUACUAUUGAUUCACAUGAUUUACUAUUAGGGGAAUUGGUGCAAGAUUAAUAAUAUUUGCAUGACUAAGUUAAAAAUGGAGGUAUAGAUAGAGGUACUAUACUGUAAUUCAUUUUUUCACAUGUCUACAACUAUUGAUUCACAUGAUUUACUAUUAGGGGAGGUGCUGCAAGUUUGAUAAUACUUGUAGGACCAAAUUAAAAAUGAAGGAAAAGAGGAAGGUAUUAUACUGUAAUAUUUCGAGCCCCAAAACGUGCAAUUAUUGAAACUAUAUUUUCCUAUAAAUAGAAGCUCAUUCCUUCAUUAUUUUCACCAAUUCACUAAAGCUAUAGAGCAAUUAUUAUAGAGAGAAAGAAGAAGAGAAGUCUGCUACCUCACUAUUCCUAUAUCCAGUUUCCUCUAAGGUAAGGGAUAUUAUUUGUUGUACUCGUAAGGGGUAUUAUUCUUUCGUAUUCAUGAAGAUAGUUAUUUUCUUUCAAUACUCGUAAGGGUUAUUAUUCCAUUCUUUAUCAUUAUGUUGGAAUAACCUGUCUAUGCGAAGUACCGCAUACAUGGUGAAAUUCUUCUGUUAUUCCAUUCUUUAUUAUUCUGUUGGAACAUCCUGUCUGUGCGGUUNNNNNNNNNNNNNNNNNNNNNNNNNNNNNNNNNNNNNNNNNNNNNNNNNNNNNNNNNNNNNNNNNNNNNNNNNNNNNNNNNNNNNNNNNNNNNNNNNNNNNNNNNNNNNNNNNNNNNNNNNNNNNNNNNNNNNNNNNNNNNNNNNNNNNNNNNNNNNNNNNNNNNNNNNNNNNNNNNNNNNNNNNNNNNNNNNNNNNNNNNNNNNNNNNNNNNNNNNNNNNNNNNNNNNNNNNNNNNNNNNNNNNNNNNNNNNNNNNNNNNNNNNNNNNNNNNNNNNNNNNNNNNNNNNNNNNNNNNNNNNNNNNNNNNNNNNNNNNNNNNNNNNNNNNNNNNNNNNNNNNNNNNNNNNNNNNNNNNNNNNNNNNNNNNNNNNNNNNNNNNNNNNNNNNNNNNNNNNNNNNNNNNNNNNNNNNNNNNNNNNNNNNNNNNNNNNNNNNCGUAGUGCAGGGAUGAUGUGGUUUAUUUAUUAAGCUGAGUCUCAGCGAUAAAAGUGAUGAAAAACCUUUUAAAUCAUAGAAGAUAGUAGAUUUUAUUCUCUACUUGACUCUUCUAAUGGAUUACUUGUUCCGCUGCAGUUAAACUUGAUGUUUAUUAUAUUUUAUCAGUUUAACACUGUUGAAGACUAAUGAUAAAUUAUUCUGCAUUAUCUUAGUCAUAAUAUUUCUUACUGGGCUAGUUGAGCUCACCCUUUUGCUUUCAUUAUUCUCUUCAGGAAAAGAGAACGUAGCGGGGACUAGUCGGGGAACGGAGUGACGGUUCAGAUGAUAGCAUUAGUAGUCCUCACUAUUCUAUGAAAUAGUAUGAAAAUAAAUGUAUUGAGGACUUAUUUUGAGUUUGAAUACUGUUUAGAAGACAAUGUUAUAUUAAAACUCACAGCUUAUGUUUUGUCGUAUUUUACACGACAGUUGUAUAAUUAAGUUUUUAUUUGUAUUUUGUACCAUAUAUUUGACGACUCAGAAUAUGUGAUGUAUACAUAUUUUGGGGGCGUCACAAUGUACCCCAUUAAUUAAUCUCUCCAUGGUUAUGCGCAAAGCAUAGCUCAUUUUAUUCAUCUUCCUUCUCUUGCAUCUCACCUCAUCCUCUAAGUCAUUAGCCCGAUCAUUAGUUUCUUCCCACUUCGUUGAAGAAACAACAAGAUCUUUCUUUUGUCCCUUCGAGGCGAUUGGAAAAGAAAGAAAUGGUUAAUAUAUUCAAGAUAAUUACGUAUUUACAAAAUACCGUCUCAAUUCAUCCUAUUUCAUCAUAUCCGGGAUGUGAUAUGGUUCCGAAGGAUGAACCGGAUAUGGAUAGUUCCAAUAAGAUUUCAUUCUUGAACAAAAAUCCAUUUUUUGAUUUAUUUCAUCUAUUCCAUGACCGGAACAGGGGAGGAUACACGUUACACCACGAUUUUGAAUCAGAAGACUCGGUGAAUGUCUUAGUAGAAGAUAUGAUUUCUUGAAACUUCAGUUUAUUAGUUUUUAGGUAAGUACGUAACUCAACAAGAAAUUUCCUUACCUGUCCAAUUUCUAAUAAAUCAAGAUAAACAUUUGUUCCGGUAUAAAUAGUCAUUAUCUGUUCUUCCACCGUGAGAGGGGCUGAUUGGGAUAAGUGAAUCCUAUCCAUCACCUCCAUCUCUAACUGAGUACGAAGUGCUUCCUUCUAUGUCCUUUCACUCAACUCUCUAUGUUCCACCUCGUCCAACUUUCCUACUAGCUCUACAUUUCUAGCCACUGACCUGUGAAACAAGGUUCCCAUCUGGAUCCCUGCCUCCUUUCGGUGAGCGAUCUGCACCUCCAUCUCCUGCAUCACUAACUUCCUCUAAUGGUUCUCAUCCCUCAAUUUCUGGAACUCGGACUCCCUCUCUUUAGCUUCAGCCUCUAACUCCUCCACUCUACAUCCUAACUCUAGAAUCUGCUCCUCAUACUCCCCCAACAUCUGAUCCUCGGAAAUAGCCUUGUUGGAGUCCUCCAUGGGCUCAGGCUCCUCCUCUAGAUCAGAUUCCUCGAGUAAUGGCUCCAUAUCCUCCUCCUCAUCAUCAUCAUCAAUAGGGGCCACUACUAUUAUGGGCUCUGCUAUUGAAGGUGCCUCAAAGACCACGUGUAUGUCACGCGGCUCCUCAUCUACCACUCGGCUAGGUCCUCCCAUGUCAGUCAUCAUACAAUCACCAAUCAUAAGCCAAAACAAACAACAACUCCAUUAGGAUGUUAAAAAAACAUAAAUUCAUCGUAUAUAAUGAAAUUAUAUUCCCUAACACACUAAGUCUCUCUCUAGUAAAACUCUAUAUGAGUUUCAUCCCUCCGUAUCUUCUAAGUUCUCCUAAGUUAUAAUCUAAGGACUCUCGUUCCUAAGGUUUAUAAUUAUCACUUUGAUACCAACCUGUGAUGCCCCCAAAUUCAGAUCACACUCGUCUCAAAUUUGGUUGUCACGUACUAAUUCUAAUAAUAAAUCAAAAUCUCACACAAUGGAAUAGUAGAAUAAAAUACAUUAAUAUAAUAUAAUUAUUCUCGUCCCAAGAGUUCGUAACUUAAACAUCUCUUACAAUACCUCCAGCAUAAUUAAACAUAAUUUAGAUAUAACUAAUACAUAUAAUAACUUAAGACAUUACAUGAAUAUAAUAAUCUCCACUAAACAUAAACUACUCAAUAGCCUUGCCUUUUCCCUUAUCAAAUCCUGAGGGGCCGCCUUGAUGUGCCUUAACUGAAAUAUUUUUAGGGAAAGCAAGAAUUAGCAACAAAUUUGCCCAGCAAGUAAUAUAGCAAUAAGGGUACUCAAUGUAGUUUAAUAUUUCUCAAGGUACAAUAAUAAGGAUAGUUCAAGAUAACAAGAAGUAUCAAUGAUUAUCAACAAUAGUCGUUAUGGACAGAAAAUAUCAAUAAUAUUUAAUGAUUAAUCAAUUCAAGAUUUCAAAGUAAUGAAUACUGAGCAGUCACUAAGGACUAGAACUUCUCCUAGAAUUUACAGUAAUAAACGGAUAAUUCCAUAAAAUGAGUACAACAGGUGAUCAGCCUAAAGUACCUUAUGUCAAUGCAUUACAUUUAAUCUUUCUUAAGUGUGCACGUCGGUUUCCCGACAAUAUAUAAUUCCCCUACCAAGAGGGUUGUUCAUCUUAGUUAUAAGAGUUCGCACCAAGUAAAUUUGGUUUGGAUAGCUUUCGAUCAAUAUCAAUAGUCUAGCUGAAGCAAUAGCUUAGACAGUUUUCUUUCACAGUACAUAUAUGAACAAUUAUCAUUCAAAAUCAAGGUUUGUAAACAAUUUCAUUUCUAGAUUACGAAGUAUUAAACUUUCAAAGUUCUACUUGUACGAUCAAUAAUAGUACAAGUUCAAGUAAUGUUCCAAAAAGAGUAAGGUUCGAGUACUUGCAUUCAAUAUAUGAAUCAAAUAAAAUUCGAUAACUUGCACAAAUCCAAAUUUGUGUAAGUUAGGAAAAUUGCUCAAUGUAAAAGAGUUCAGAUACUUGCCUUACACGUAGUUUACCAAAGUAAAGCUUAACACCCUUCCAAAGAAUUAUAAUAUCCUAUUCAUGUAUAAUCACAUUAGUUAUACAAGUUCAACAUGUAUACCUAUUAUCUUAAAUUGGUUAUGAUACACAAAUGAAAUUCAUUGAUACUAACAUAUAUUGUUAGUCUUCUCUUAGUCUUAUGAUCUCUUAUGCAUGUUACCACAUAGCAUGAGAAUCAGUUCUAAUACACUAUGACAUUUAAAUGGCAUAGUUUGAAAUCACAUUUUGACUUUAAAGUUGUAAACACUAAUUCAUUAUAGGAUCCUUUCAAUAACAUGCUUAUUAACACAUGAAUACUAUACUAGACAUGUAUUAUAGAUUGGGGUAACAAUAUAAACAUGCACCAUUUGUAACGCCCGAGACAAACAAAUCUUUAAUGAUUUAAAUUUUUAUUUGAUUAUGUGGAUUAAAUGAAUUUAAUUGAUUAUUUAUGUGAGUAAACAAUUUGAAGGUCGUUCUAUGACCUAGAAUGUGAGGAUGUGGUUAGUAUUCUGGCUAUGUGCUAGGAUUAAUUGUUUUGAAUUUCUAAGACGAAAAUAAAUGUUUUCCGAGAAAAUUUCCGUAAGAACACUAUUCAUCCAUUUCUUCUCAGGAAUUGAGUUUGAAUUUUUGAGAAAUGCGUAAUGAUAGAAUACGAAGACAAGAUGGAAUAUCCAAUAAUAUUUCAGUUAUGGCAAACGAAGUUUUCGCCUGCGGACUUAAAACCUAAGGGUUAGUAAAAGUGAUUUCCGUGAAGAAAAUGCAAUGCGUAUAAUGAUUAGGAUUAUUAUACGUACGAUAUACGAGUAUGAUACUAGUUAGAAUAUGAGUAUAGUAUGAAGAAUAUUCUGAGGUAUAAUACGAAUAUUGUAUGAAUACUAAAUGAAGGGAAUACGUGAGUUAUACACGUAGAAUGCAAUUAAUUCUUAAUGGAAUUUGAGUUUAAAGACUUAGUAUAAUCCAAUUGGACUUGGAUUUUAUCAAGCCCAAUGAAUUGUGUAAUCAAACCCAAGUUUAGGCCCAAUGUUAUAUUUAAUUAAGCCCGAUCCAAGAAACCAAAUCGCGGAUCGAACCAGCGGGUCACCGGAUGGGUAAAACCCAUAGGGCAACCCAUAGGGAGACCCAUAGGCAUAUGGGCCAGCCACUUGGCCACCAAGUAAAGUGAUUACUUGGUGGCUAAGUUGUUGUGGAGGUGGGAAUAGUAAGGGGUCACCAAAUGACCAUUAUGCCCUCCAUUUAAGUUUCCUAUAAAUAGAAGCUUAGGUUGGGAAUUUUGUGUUUUACAAACUUUGUCCAACAUAUAUUGAGAGAGAGAAAGAGCUAAAAACAAGUAAUCAAGCUACUUUGAAGCAAAACAUAAGAAGUUUUAUCAAGAACGUGAAGAACGAAAAGGUAAUAUUUUGUAAACGUUAGCUUUCCAUCUUUUCGAUUUCUUUCUCAUAGAGAAUCGUAGAUUGGUGGAGCAUGUCUCUUUAGGAGGAAUAAGGAUGGCUAUUAAUGAUUAAAACAAUAUUGAUAAGUCAUAUUUAAGUAGAAACCAUAAGGGUUUACUUUAAACCAUAGAAAUCAUUGAACGUUAACUUGGUUGUUGAUGGACAAAUUGAAAACCAUCAUUGAUAGGGUAUGUGCCUCUUACUUGGUUGGGAUGUAGAUGAGGAAUCAAUGGAGUUGUUCCAUUUGAUUUGGCAUAUAGAACAUGAGUAAUGAAGUUAUGGCGAAUUUUACGGAAUUAGACGUUAAACGUCAAAAACGUAGAAAUCUCAGAUUGAUAGUCAAAGGUUGUCGUGUGGCUUGGAAACUUUGGUUUUUGAUGCCAACACAUGAGAUAGGGUAUUCAAGAGUUGUGGACUCAAGAAUCGUCGAAUUCUGACUUAGAACGAAGAAAACGAUUAUUGAACGCUUGCGAACGAUAAACGAAUGCUCGAUAAUGAACUUAAAAGUGAAUUCCGAGUUAACGGAUUCAAAAAGAUAAAAUUCUUGCAUGAACACUUAGAGUAUGUAAUUUGUGAGUUGUUGGCUUUUGAAUGAGCCAAUUUGGACGUAAAACGAAUAAGUUAUGAAGUCGGGAAGUUCGUAGAAAAAGUUAACACUCAAAGCCAACUGAGUCUCAAGGGUGGCGCCGCAGCACCAACCCCAGUGUUAUUGGUCAUGCCACAGCGCUGGCUCCGGGCUUCAUCUACUGUUAGUUGGCACCACAACGCCAAUGGUGUGCUAGAGUCUGGCGCCGCAACGCCAGUAGUGGGAAAUGGUUGACCAAGUUAGGUUUUGUACUUUUAUUUGAUUGUAAACCGAUAGUAGGACAUGAGUGUACUUAAUGUGCAUGAUAAGGCUAACUUUAAAUCACUUAUAAAGUGAUAACGUUAGAAGGUUAAGUAUGGUUUAAUAGGAAUUAAACGAGGAUUGCAAAAGUGUAAAUAAGUAAACCGUGAACGGUAUUCAACGUUGGUACUUCACCAAUGAUGAUCGAGUCUCGGUUAGUAACGUAAGAACGUUAACAAUCCGUGAUGAAGGGUAAUAAGUCGAAUUGAUCUUAUUAAUGAAAUAAAUUCAAUUAAAACGUAAAAGAGAAAGAAGUUGGUAAUAAACAAUGUGAUUAGAUUUUUUGGUAACUAAUUACAGUGUUCUAUGUGAAUAUAUCAUGUAGAUACUGUAAAGACUGAGAACUGUUGAAUAUUAUAUUCGAAGACACUUGAAGGCAAGUUUUCUUAUCGCUUGUCUAACCUUCGUGUUAGCCAAGUUUUCAGUGAUUCAUGUUAUAAGAUGCAUGAAUUGUUUUACGAAAAGGGUCGAUGCCAGUUUUAACUCGGCUAGACUAUUAUUAAGAGUUAGAUUGAUUUUUUACAAGUCUUUCGAUAUAGAACUAUUAACGCUAUCCUACGCCAAGUAUUUGGUACGGAUUCAAGGUAAGGUUGUAUAUGAACCAACAAAUGUAUUUUCAUCGAUUAUUCGAUGGGCACACGAGGUUGCCAAAACUUAAACGUAAAUACGUUUAACGGAUGAGUAUUGAUCAACAUAGAGUACUAUAGGUUGAUCACCUAGAAGUGCUCAUAAGUAAUACCGGAUGUACGGCCUUAGUGCCAGGAUGUCCUUUUCAUGAAUGAAAACGAAAAAAGUAUGUUCAUAGUCUUUUGAUCGGUUCAGAAUUCCUAAGCUAUUAUAUAUACUUUAGAAUCGUUGUUAUGAAAUGAGAGGUAUUAGUCAAUGUUUCACAGUACUUCAUAGCUAUUUGUUCAGUUAUGGAAGAUAAUGUAAUAACCCGAUAUUUUCUAUAUAAAUAAAUAAGAAAUUUUGCAUAUAAUUUAUUAUUAUUAUUAUUAUUUUAAUGAUGGGAAUAUGUGCCAGGUAAUGUAUAUAUAUAUAUAUAUAUAUAUAUAUAUGUGUGUGUGUGUGUGUGUGUGUGUGUGUGUGUGUGUGUGUGUGUGNNNNNNNNNNNNNNNNNNNNNNNNNNNNNNNNNNNNNNNNNNNNNNNNNNNNNNNNNNNNNNNNNNNNNNNNNNNNNNNNNNNNNNNNNNNNNNNNNNNNAAGAUAAAUCAGAUAAUGAAUCCAAACCCUAAUUUUGGAUUUUGAGCAAUGAAUGAGAAUAAUAAUAUUAUAUUAAAUAUAAUAUUAUUUUUCAGUGGUAUAAAUAUAUACUGUAUGUGUGUAUUGAUAAUGGUUGGUCAAUUAUGGUGUAUAAUGUCAAAACCCUUAUAUCAAUUUAUUAAACCCUAUUUUGAAACUAAAUUAUGAGUUCGAGAUAGUUAUGUAAUUGUGUUACUAUAAUUAAGGUUAAGUAUUAUGGAAUUUAAUGAUAAUUAGGGAAACCCUAAUUAUUAUUUAUAAACCCUAAUUAUCAAAUUUGAAACCCUAAUUUGCUAAUUAGGAACCAUAAUGGCUAAGUUAGAAACCCUAUUUAUUAUUUUAGUAAAUUGUAAUGUUAAUUAGGAAACCCUAAUUCAUAAUUUGGGGAAACCUAAUCAUAUCAAGAAACCCUAAUUAUUUAAAACCCUAAAUUUUAUUAAAAAAACCUCAUUAUAAUUAGUGUGUUCUAAUUAAAAUUUUAUUAAACUUUAAACUUAAUUUUUCAAAACCUUGAAAUUAUUUGGAAAAUCUUAAGGUUUAAAAUCUAGUGAUUAAACCCUAGAUUCAAGUACCAUGGACAAGAAUACCAUUAAAAUUACAAGGCAAUUGACCAAAGUACCCUUUUUGUCACUUUCUUGGAUUUGUUGCUUGCAAAUCUUGCCAUAUCUUGGCAAGUCACCAACCCUAGAUAUGCCCAUGUGCCAAAAUCUUUGCAAAUCAGUCAAAUAAAUCAUCCAAAUACAUUGCAUACAAGGGAUAUAUAAGAUUAGAGAAAGAGAGAAUGUCCAAAAUCUAGCUCAUUUAUUUCCAAACACAUAACCAAGACUCUCUCUCUCCUCACCCACGAAAAACAUUAGUAUUUCAGUCCCACAUCAAGCUCCUAGAUCACCCAAAACAGAUCAAGAAGCCAGAUUUAAGAUUUUGUUAAUAGAAAGAAAUAACCCUAAGCCAAUAUUUUAAUCAUGUAUGAUGUGUUAGAUCUAGUGUUUUUAUGUUGUAAUAUGUUGUAUGAGGUGUUAAUCAAUGAUCUGGGUUGCUAGAUGUUAGAUCCAUAAUAUCUAGAGGCUCGGAUAUGAUAAUUUUCUAAAUAUGGAAAUUUUUGAAAAUGAGGGUCUGACAAUGAAUGUCAGGUCCCAUAGAUCCCAGUAUGUUAUGUGUUUUAGUGUUUUAAAGGUUUGGAGUUGCAGCUGGUAAUGUUGUUAGUAUUCCGAAAGUGGAAGCAAGAUCAUUGAAUGUGUAUAUCAAAAGUUAUUCACGGUCAAAGUUCGUUGACCGAACACGAAUUUAGUUUUCUGGGUAACCCAGAAAACUGAAGAACGUUUUCUGUUAGUGACUUUGACCGGCUUUGAUCUAAUUUAUGUCAAGCUGUUAGGAUGAAUAAUGGUAUCUAGAUUAUAGUAUGACAUAAUGACUACAAGUCCAGCACACUCUCGAACC